This 50576-nucleotide long non-coding RNA is filed under the name Coffea arabica (coffee). Its description in RNAcentral is "long non-coding RNA (CARA_LNC002727)". Lineage: Eukaryota; Viridiplantae; Streptophyta; Magnoliopsida; Gentianales; Rubiaceae. The record is from RNAcentral.
UUUUUUUUUUUUUUUUUUUUGGUGGGGUGGGUAAUCUUAUCAAAAGACUAUGGAUGGCCCUCAUUUGUAAGCCUAUAAAAUGACAAAAUAGUACACCAAUUAUAUAAGCCUAUAAGACUAAUGAUGAAUCAUUCUUUUAAAAAAGAAAAUUUUUUUUUUCAUCAGCGUGAAUCAUAUUUCAUUGUUGAAGUCCUUGAAGUUAAAAGUAGAAUUUUACAUGCCAACAAUUUACCUUGAAGUACAAAUUUAAGGCAAAUUCUAAAUGUCAAGUUUUUGUAAUGUUUUAAACAUUUCAUUUUUGUGUCUUCUUCCCUCUUGCCUAUCAUUAAUUUGGGCGAGACACUCGAGUCUGGACAGGUGUGCUUGUCUGACGUUGUUGUCUUUGUGGCAAUUCAUUUGAAACCCCAAAAAAAAAAAAAAACGCAUUUAAGUUGAAGAUUAUUCGACUCUUUUGUUAAUUGGUAUUGAUGCGAUAUUUUUUUAAUCUAAUGAUGAUUGAUAAACAAAUAUUAUUAUUAGUUUUCUUUGAGUAUUCACCCUUCCCUUCAAAAGAAAAGCUUAUUCUAAACUUGUUACGAAGGAGAUAACCAUUCAUCUUUCCGUAAGAAGGAUUAUUCAUUCAUCUGUAAAAAUAUAAUUCCUAAAGUUGGAAGGAAUUUUGUUAGACAGUAAAUUAUUUGAGAUAAUUUUGUGAAAAAAUAUUGUCAUAUUUUUUUAAUGUGAUGUAUGUGGGAUAAAAUGAUUAUUCAAAAAUGAAAAUGCGUAAACAAGAUGAAAAUAAUAUGUAAUUCAACCAUUCAGACAGAGAAUUCCAUUCCCCAGAAGAAGUGUUACUACUAGACAGUAGUAUUACUUAAUUUAGUAGAGUCGUCAAAUGAUGAUAACGCUGUGAUGAUCAAGGAUCAUGGUAAUGAUUAAAACUUAAUUAAACACCAUUUAACAAAUUACCAAGAAACAUUGCGUAAACAGUCUUCCACGAGUGGACCCAAAUAUCCGAGCCCGAAAGGAUAAAGCAGCUCGGAAACAAAGAAAGAAAGAAAGAAAGAAAGAACGGGGGAAACAAAAAUCCCUAUACCUCAAAUGGGACCCACCCACCAGCCCCGCCUUCGGCACCACCUCCCAAAGUCUUAUCUAAUCACCCCAAGUGACUAAAUCUAAAUUUGUACCUCAAAGCUUUUCUUGUUUUCUAUUUUGCACCUUAAUCUUUUAUGUUAAAUGCAAAUUUUUGUAUUUGUCCUAUUUGAGUUCCCUGGUAUCUUUUUAUUUCGAAACUUUCCGAGAGUCGCACUCUCACACUUUGGGGAGCCAAGAGGGUUUGAAAUUGACUAACUCGACUCUCUAAUAAUUAGUUUAGUGUUCGAUAGUUUCGAUAAAAAAUAUAUAUAUAUAUUAUUAGAUUACAUGAAUUUAUUAGGAGAACUUGUUAUAAGUAUGAACACAAAUUGAGGACUUCUAUGUGGGUUAUUGUCACGGGCGUUAUAUGUUUGCUGUCUCAUUAACAUAACGCUGCCAGUAAUUCAACCAAAUUAAAAUGUUGAUCAAAUUUAGGGGGUGCAAAGUAUAUGAAAGAAAAGUUUAGGGUAUAAAGUCUAAAUGAAAAAAUAAGGUGACAAAGUGGGAAAAGCUUCACCCGUAGUCACCAAACUCCAAACCUCAGCCUUACCACGUGGCGCCAAAGCUGAGGCUCGGCUUCAGCACUACCCUUGUACGCUUCUUCUUCUUCUUCUUCUGCUCUCUGGCCUCUGCCACUUUCAUCAUCAUAUUUCUUCACACACUCACGCACUAUCAGCAAAGACAACACACUCGUACGGAACGAAUAUAAUCACAAAUUACUUUGUCUUUUUUGUUUUUCCUGGCUCGUGAUUUGGAGUGAUCAUCAUUCAUAUGAUUAACACGAGGUUUAGCUUUAAUCCCUUUUCUCUGUCUCGACGGUCAUUAAAAAAAAAAGAUAUUUUUAUGAGUUGAUCGUAUUCGUUUGUUGUUGUUGUUGUUGUUGUUGUUGUUGCUUUUAAAAAAAAAACAAAAAUCUUAAUUAUGCAAAUUGUUUAAGAGAGAUUGCUUAAAGUUUUGGACUUUAUUCUCAUGCUAUACUGUACUUGAAGACUGAAGUGUUUAACUGUUUCAGGGGAGUUUAGUAGUUGGAUUGUAAUCAUGGGAAUGUGUUGAUUUCAAAAGCUUUGCCUUUUGGGUUUAAUUCCUCGAAAAAAAAUAUGAAAAUUCUUGAGUCUUGAAUUCUAGUUUGCUCUUUUUAAUCUUUUUCGAAUUUUUUACUUUUUAUUUUUAAAAAUUUUGAGGUUUCAACACUGAGGAGAAGUCUAUAUAUUUGUCUUAGUGGGGGCAGGAGCCAGGAGGGGUGCAGAAUGGAGAGGAAACGAUAAAGUCGGCUUCUUUGGCGGUGAUUUUAUUAGGGGUAGAAAAUAUAGUAUGUUAUGAGAGUUAUAAUGGGUGCUUAGCUAGCUCUCAACUAUCCUUUCGCCUUACCUGCUAGAUUUUUAGCAGAAUUAAUUAAUUGUGAAGAAAAAUUGAAGUUUUGUAACUUAAACUGGAAGCACCCUUAUGGAAAUUAUCUGCUACUCUUACAGUUGAGCAAAAUAUAAGUGUUUCUUAUAUUUAAGUAAGUUUCUUUGUGUUUAUGAUCAGGAAUUCCCUUUUGGUUUUAUGGAUAUUUUAGUUGCGUGGUAUUCGUGUGUUGUAGAAUUGCGACCUUUUAAUAGACACUUACUCUUCUGGAUGCUCGUAGACUCUUGAACUGUGACUUUAAAGCUCCAACAGAUGAGCAGAGAGGCAGAAUUUGAUUAGUUAACUCUUUAACCAAAAAAAGAUUUGAGCAUCAUCAGUGGAAAUGCUUCUUUCAUACAGUGGCCUGGCCGAUACAGCUUCCUGCUUCAAGAAAUUUAUGUCAUUAUAGUGGUCUAAUCUCAUUGUUCUUCUAUUGUUCAAUAUGGAUAUCUAAUAGUCUGUGAAAAUGGAAACUGAGGCAUGAUAUAUUUCCAUGCUUUUAAAGUAAAUGUUUGCUUUUUUAUUGUUUUUUUUUUUUUUGGGGAUGUGUUUGUCUCUCUGUGCCCAGCAUCCUCGUUUAAGCAUGUUUUUCUUCUGUUUUGUCCUGCAGGAUGCAGUACUAGAAUGCAUUCCCAACAAUUUGGCCAUUAUAUGAGUUAAUUUUUGCUUAUAUGCUGGCUCACUGGCGUUAAAGAUUAUAAGAUAUUUAUAAAUGGGAGGAGCUUGUUCCAGAAAACGAGACCAGCAGGUUGAUGAGGACAACAUACACAGAGGAUUUUCUGGGAGAUACUGCAAAAGUGGAAGUUCAAAAUGGCUUGGAUCCUCAUUUUCACGAUCUUUGUCAGAUGUUAAACAGGGGAUAGGGAAGAGCCCAUCUCUCAUGGAGUUGUGUACUUACAAAAUUUGUGAAGUAUGUAUUUUUAUUAAUAAGCUUUUAUUGAGGAAAAUCUUGAACAUAUGUUAUCGAAGGGAUUGAUUGUUCUGCUUUGUGCUAUUACAGGCCAUCCAUAACUACGGUUCCUUCUCUAUGUUGCCAAGGGAUGUAAGUCAACAGAUAUUUGAUGAGUUGGUCUAUUCACAACGUUUAAAUGAUGUCAUUCUUCAAGCUUUUCGAGAUUGUGCUCUUCAGGUAGUUGAACUUCCAUUUGUUGAAGUGGGAAUUGCUGCAGUGAUUUUUGUUUUUUGGGUAUUAGGCAGUUUGGCAGACUUGAGAGCAUCUAUAUUGUACUUGGCAGGAUUUGAAUUUGGGGGAAUACCCAGGAUUCAAUGACAGUUGGAUGGACAUGAUUGCUUCACAGGGUUCAUCUUUACUUUCUGUGGAUUUCAGUGGUUCAGAUGUUACUGAUGCUGGCUUGAGCCACCUCAAAGACUGCACAGGCCUUCAAGCGUUGAAUUUUAAUUAUUGUGAUAAGAUUUCAGACAAUGGGAUGGCACAUAUCUCUGGUGUGGUUUCCUUCCUAGCCUUGGGUUAUUUGUCACAUCUUCAUUGAUCUGUUAAGAAAUACUCCCAUGAUGCACCUCCUUUUCCCCCUGCCCAGUGAAUGUAGAUGAAAUUGGUUAGCUUCUUUUCUGUGCAUCAGUGUGCACAUACAGGCACAUUUAAUUUUCUUGGUCUAGAGGCUUAGCAUGGAGUUGAUUCUAAGGUUUUAAAUGUUCAGUAAAAAAUUAUGGGAAUUGUGCUUAUGGAGUACUAAGUAGGGAAAUCGGUCUAAUUCUUACAGUCCAUAGGUGCCUGAAUGCUACUUAUUUCUCUGAAUGAUUUGUUGUUCUUAGAAUACUUUUACCUGACUUCUAAUGGAGUGUACAUUGCUUAAUGCCGAACUGUGUAAAGCAGCUGUAGCUCUGAAUUUCUCUUAUCAGCAAUCAUUUUCUUCGUUUUAUGCAUUACCAGAACAUAUAAUCUCUCAGGAUUAUAUCUUGGUCCCUGAGUGAUUAAUCUAUGUGCCUUUGGUUCAAAUUAUCAGGUCUUUCAAACAUGACGACCCUGAGUUUCAGGAGAAACAACAUGAUUACAGCUCAAGGAAUGAGUGCCUUAUCUGGUUUGGUUAACCUAGUGAAGUUGGACCUUGAAAGAUGCCCAAAGAUCCAUGGAGGUCUUGUUCAUCUUAAAGGUUUGUUCCUUGUUUUGCUUUGAUUAGAGAACUAAUCUGCUGCACGUAGAUUGAAUUCUGAUAAGGACAGCUUGUAUGUUUCUUAGAUUUAGAAUAAAAGGUUUCAACCCUAUGAUUCAACAUGGGGCUUGUCUUCUUUGUGCACCAUUUCUAUUGCUGGAUAAGCUAGCAGAUUUUUUGAUGUGACAAUAAGUAUUUGCCAACUUCUGGGUUGAGAAAAGGCAUUCAUAGUGCUUUUCUUUUUGUUUUAUAGAAAAGAUCACUUGUUGAAGGCAUGUGCGAAGAUCUUGGUUUUAGGCAAUGAUUAUCUAGGGUAUUAUCUGGGUUUCUCUCUUCCUUCCCUCUCAAUAGUACAUCUUACAUUCCAUUUUGUUCAGUAUAUAUGGUAUACUCUUAAGUUUUAUGUUUCCAACAAUUUUUCUCAGCAGAAUAAAGUCACUACCUAGGUGAGGGCCCUUCGUGCAGACUGUAUAAAGGAAAACCAUUUUGAGAACCUGAUGUUGUGCUUUAUGGGCUAGUUUUUAAAAUAAUUGUGUGAAGAAGAAAGAACUAUGGCAUCACCGAGAGUCAGAUGCAUAGUUCAAUCCAUCUUUUUAUGUUGGAUAGAACUAAAAUUUUAGUGAAGGGAUUUUCCUUGUAGAAGUAUCUCUGCCAUCCUUGAAGGACAUUAGCCAUUAAUGUUUCACUUUGAAUUGAAAAAGUUGCUACGUUUUUAUGCACUGGAAUUUGUAUAAUAAAGCUUCUUGUGAGCUUCUUGAUUGAUAAACUUUAGAAAUCCUUAAAAUGUUUUAUUUUUAAAGGAAAUACAUAAGCAUAAUAAUUAAAUUAGGUGUUCUUGGUUUUGUUUCAUCAGCUCUGGAGGGGUAAACUUUGCCAUGCUAGAAUAGUUGUAAUCAGCUGAGGGAGACAAAUAUGUGUGCUUGCACAACGAGGUUGGUUUUGGUUCUACCUCUAUUGGAUAAGAACUUAUCACCAGUAGACAAAUAUCAUCUCAAAAGUACCUAUUUUAUGGUAAUAGUAAUCUUGGAGCUAUUACUGCUUCCAGAGAUUUGAUUGUUUUUCCCACCUAAAACGUUGCUCCUUAUACUAGACUAUGGUUCUAUCAAAAGAACUUAUUUCAUGGUUGAGGAUCUUGGGGCUAUUGAUUUCCCUGAACAUGACUGUUCCAUCCCUCUAGAACCUUGUCCGUUUAUUUUGUAUGCUAUGAUCUUGGAUAUUGGAAAAGAGCUUCCUUGAAUUGGAAAAGACCUUUGGGUACCUUUACAUGAGAACUGUGUAUACUAGGUUUGCCAUUUUGGGUUCUGAGUGUGACUUGGUAAUGCAUCACCAAAAAGGGCCCACACUGUGUGCAUGUGUCGUAACAGUGACUUAAGAUUGAUGGAUAAUGCAGAAAUUUGGAUGUUAACAGGGUAGGCCCCUGGAGAAGAAUGUUAGUUCUUACUCAUGCCUAUUCGCUCUCAAAGGGAGACAGCAUCAGAUAUUUGAUGAAUCUGAUCUCAUCUCCAUGUCUUUCUUUUUUUCCUGAAAAUGUAGGACAAAGGAUGUUUUCUAAAGCUGUGAAUGGGAGCUUACUAAUUUAUUAGAGGUUUUAUAAUUUUCAUCCUCUCCUGUAGUUUUUCUCGACUUAUUUAAGCACUUGAAAGCAGAUGGGGUAUAGUAACUCCUGCUGGGACAAUUUGUCAGAAGCAUCCUUCUUCUAAUUUAUCUUAAUAUAAAUAGGUUCUUAUAUUUAUAGUGUUUUUGAGAAUGGGCUAACGAUGCUGAGACAACCUUAAUUCACUCUUGGCAGGUUUAACCAAGCUCGAGUCUCUUAAUAUCAAUUGUUGCAAUUGUAUUACAGAUACUGACAUGAAGCCUCUCCAAGGUAACUCUUAUCCUGUAAAACCUCUGGAUGAGUAGGAAAUGAAUGGGAAUGGAUGGUGACUCUUUACAGUGACUGAAAAAAUUGCUGAAAAGAUGCCAAGUAGUGCAUGAUAUAAUUUUCUGUUGUGCUAAGUAACGUCUGAUGUGAUUUUUAAUGGAGCUCUGAUUUAGACUAGUUUACCUGAUCAGUUGCAGUAGAAAGUGCUUUUUGUAUGUGAUCAUAUGUGCUAAUCUCAAAUCAUUCUGGAUUUUUUUUAUUUCAGGACUUGCAAAUUUGAAAGCUUUACAAAUUUCAUCCAGUAAAGUCACAGAUCAUGGUGUAAAUUUUUUGAAAGGUACAGUGGUCUUGGUUUUUAUCUUUCUUUAAGAACUUUAGAUUUGUAUUAUGAGUCUUAGAGCUAGUGUAUAUUUAUAGCUGUAUUGCUUUGGCAGAAGUUUUAUUUGUGCUUAAAUUUCUUAUCAAAUUUGAGCAAACUUUAUUCUUACCAAUAAUGAUGUGAAACUCAAAUGCUCCAUAUGUUUGUCUUAGAUAGAGAUAUCAAUAUUGGCUGAGGUCUGCAGGUUUGUUCUUGAAUGAUUUCUCUAAAAACAUUUCUUCCAGGAAGGGUGCAGGGAAGGAAGAACCUCGGAUGGGAGCUUUCAGAUUUGAAAAUCCAGUCCAAUUGAAAGACAAAAGAUAAAAAUCUUGUCCACUAGGCUGUAUUUGAUUCUAUGUAAGAGAGUAUCAAGACAGAACUAACUAAGUGUAGGGUUUUGAUUAGUGUCAAAAGGAGAAAUUUGUUCAACAUUAUGGUGCCCUGGGGAACUCAAAGAUGGGGUUUAUGAUGGCUUUUAAAUAGUAUAGAGGGAUCUAAUCCUGGGACAUGCUUCGUAAAAAUCAACAACACGAGCCCCAGUGGGUUAAGCAGAACUGUCUUGGAAAGUCGUCGUUUAUUGCUAUCAUGGCUCUUAUGUGAUUUUGGUCAGAAAAUUGGAUUUAGGAUCUCCAUGUAAUUGUUUAUUCCAGUCUUUUUUUAAAGAGUUUUUGCUAUCCGUGAGGAGUAUGUAACUUUUAGGCAUUUCAGUGUAAGCCACUAGUUAAAAAUAUUUACUGAGGGUACAGUUCAGUUUGUAAAAGGUAAUCUCUCAGGAAGAUUUUCUUGUCAAUCUGUCAACUGGUUUUUAUUGACUUUCAAUAAAUUAUUUUUUUAUGGGGUACCCGUUUGGAAGCACGAGUCAACCACAGGACUCUUCAAGCAUACAUCUUUUAGCAUGGUCCUUUCAGUAAUGUAUUUGUCAUUCUGAAUCAUAUUUGCACCAGAUACCAAAGCCAGUUGCUAUUUGAACCGCCUAUCUUUCAGCUAAUAUUCAUGCAUUUGUACAAUCUUCUUUGACUUCUGUUGAGAUAUCUGUUUGCAUUGCAGCAUUGCACAAGCUUGAAUUGCUGAACAUGGAGGGUUGCCCAGUUACUGCAGCAUGCUUAGAGUCUCUUUCAGGUUCAUAUUCUGCUUUGAUUAUCCGGAAUUUAUGUAUGUUUUUUACUAACCCCUUUGAUGCUCUUAUUCACUAAGCAGCAGGUCCUACUUUUUGAUGUUAUGCCAUCUUGAGUUGAUCAGUUGAAAUGUCUUUCCCAUUUAAUAGAUUGUUUUUACUUGAUUUCUGAAAGAAUCUUUAUAUAUGUAUGAAUUGGUGAUUUUCUGUAUUUGGGUCGAUACCUCAUUGUUGAGAACAUUUGUUUUGUCAUUUUGCCUCCUCCUGCUGAGUUUAUGAAACUUGUUGGCAUCAGAUGAAGCAUGUUGUUAUUGUCAUUUGUGUUAAAAUAUCGAUUCUUUGUUUGCUUGUUCAUGCAGCCCUUGGUGCCCUCUUAUAUUUAAAUUUAAGCAGAUGUAAUUUGGCUGAUGAUGGAUGUGACAAAUUUUCAAGUAAGUUGAAACACUUCGAUUGUAGACUCUUUUUUUUCCUCUUAAAUCAAAGGAUUUUAUUGACUAUGAAGUCUUAUCAUGUGAUGUUUUUAACAUCUUCUUGAAUGCUGUCUUUGUGAUAUUUAGGGCUGCAGGCUCUGAAAGUACUGAAUUUAGGGUUCAAUGAGAUCUCGGAUGCUAUCUUGGUAUAUUUAAAAGGUCUCCCCCCCCCAGCUCUUUGACUUUUUGUCUUCUCUUCUUGCUUUUGGCAUAUUUUUAAAUUUAGUGGGGCCUAAAGAUGAAAAUAUUUGGAAAUAUCAUAUAUACUUAUCCAUAGUUUAAACAGGUUUAACAAAUUUGGAGAGCUUGAACCUGGAUUCUUGUAGUAUUCGUGAUGAAGGGCUGGUUAACUUGGCAGGUUAGUGUUGUAUGUUGCAAGUUAUUUACUCUUUGUUGGUCAUUACUUGCUGCAUGGUACCAAGAUAUCAGAAAUACGAAGAUAUGAUUUUCAUGCACCGGUAUCAUCUUGGUAUCAGGAUAAUAGCAGAUUGAUUAUGCAAUGAACAUAAUGGUAACUGAUGCAUAUCCUUGUUUGCAUGACAUUUGGAUCCUUGUUCCAAGCCAUUGUUGUUGACCUAAUUUAACGUGUCUAACCAUCGUUAUUUUUGUUUCUAUUUUUUCCAAUUAUUGUUUAUCUGCUGAUGCUAAUUCUAAAUGUUGACUUAGUCAUUUUGGUGUUAAAUUUUCAGGCCUUAGUCGUUUGAAAUGUUUAGAGUUGUCUGAUACUGAAGUGGGAAGCAGUGGAUUGCGUCAUCUUUCUGGUUAGACAUUUUCCUUCUUGUUACUAAGUGAGUGGGUGCAAGAAAACUGGUGAAAUUUUGGUCAAAGCUGCAAGCAUGUAUACGCUUGAAAAAUUGGGUGUUGAUCUUUAUCUAGUUUGAAUUUGACAGACCAAUCUGUUCUGUGUUUCAAAUCUUAACUUUUGUUAGUGCUUGUUUUGUGCUGCUUGCUAUUUUAGUCGAUAUACUUCCACGAUAAUGUUAAGCCUCUUUCUAUUUUCUUUUUCUUUUUUUUUUUUAAAUAUCCUCCCCCCUUCUCUCUUCCCCCGAUGGACCCCCCAUGGGGAAGGGAGUUGGUUAGGCAAAUUUGGAAAGUUAUAUAGUGCUAAGUACAUGAUUUAUGAUUACUAUUAUACUUGUAUUGACUACUCAUAUUAGUAUUAUUAUUUAUCACUUUGUAGGAUUAGGCAAUUUGGAGAGUUUGAACCUAUCAUUUACUGUUGUCACUGAUGGUGGGCUUAGAAAGUUAUCUGGAUUAUCAUGUCUGAGGUCACUUAAUUUGGAUGUUCGCCAAAUUACUGAUACUGGCCUUGCAGCUCUCACCAGUAAGUAAUUCUGGGUGGUUAUUAUCUUCACUUUCCCAUACUUCCUCUAGGAAAUAUGCAUAGACUUCUAUCAUCAUCUGUUUAUGUCAGAACUAAUUUCCAUGUCCGCGUUCUUUGUUGACUGGCUGCUUGUGACCAACUAGUUUUAUUAAGUUGCCUUCCAGUUUUUAGGGGGUUAUAUCUUAAUGGUGCUUUUUGCUCCAUAGUUUAUUAGAUUCCAGAAUUUCCCAUCUUGCUAUAUGCUUGGUACCAUGUUUUCUAAAAUUUCUCUUUGAGCUGAAAUCUGGAUCUAGGUUUGUUUGGAUUCUUAUUGAUAAUAUUUUCCAUAGGAAAUGAAUUUUGUGCUUUCAAUAUGGUCUCAAAUCUGAAUUAAGAUUGUAGCACAGAAAUUCCAAUAAAUUAGCUGAUAGCAAGGAUUAUUCAGCAAAAUAUUGCUCCUCUAAAUGCUUUUGACUUUUAUUAUAAACUUUCUUUCUUGAUUGAUUCAGGUUUGACUGGAUUGACUCAUUUGGAUCUAUUUGGAGCUCGAAUCACUGAUUCUGGAACGAAUUAUUUAAAAUGUAUGUGGGUAGUGGUACUCUCUUAAUUUCCUCUGGGUUUCAGUUAUAGUGUUUUCCUUCAACCUUCUUUUUCUUCUUCUUUUUUUGGUUUUAUAUAGGAGAUUGAGACAUGAAUACAAUACUCAUGGAUUGCUUAUUUAAUUUAUCUGGCCUCCGCAGGAUGCUACUUCUGCAUCUUAAUGGAAAUAGGAUUGAGCGUUUAAUUUUUUUUCUCUUUCGUCUUUCUUUUUUGUUAAAGUUUUCCCGUCUUUCUGGUUUUUGAAUGUUGCAAGCUUUACCUUAUAAUAUGGAUUUUUUGUGCUGGCUUACAGUUUUCUAACAAAGGAUCUUGGGCAUAAACUGUUAGUUGUGUAAUCUCCUAAGUUGUCUGGAUUCUCCUUUCUCCUGGGUGAAAGGAAAGUGUGUUUUGACUGGUUUAAACUGCAGACCUUUUCUUGUUUUUCUUUUUGUGGGUUUUCAUUUGGGGCAGAGCGGGGUGUUCUUGAGAGCACCACUUUCUUUGCUUAGCUUUUGGCCUUUGACAUAUGCUUCCUUCGUUAUUUUCAUAAUACAGGUUUCAGAAACCUUCGUUCGCUAGAAAUUUGUGGAGGAGGAUUAACUGACGCAGGAGUGAAGAAUAUCAAAGAUCUCACUUCACUUGCGCUUCUAAAUCUUUCCCAGAACAGCCACCUGACUGAUAAAUCAUUGGAAGCAAUUUCUGGUAGUUUGGUGUAACCGUAUUACUUUCACUGCUAUCCAUUGCUAACAAGUUUGACUUACAAUAUCUUGUAAAUGCAGGGUUGACACAACUUGUCUCUUUGAAUGUCUCGAAUUCUCGUGUAACGAGUGCUGGAUUGCAGCAUCUGAAGCCACUUAAGAAUUUGAAGUCCCUUACCUUAGAGUCCUGCAAGGUAACUGCAAAUGAUUUAAAGAAACUGCAGGCAACUCACCUCCCAAAUCUGGUGAACUUUCGGCCAGAAUAGCACUGGGCUCCCUCCUGGACAACCAGAUUAUUGUGAAUAUCUAGAAUCUAGUCAGUGAUGGGAGUGCUACUGUGAAUGAUGAGUGAAUAAAUCUUGCAUUUGUUGAACUGUACAUAUCCUAGAUUCUAGAGUUGCUGUUAAGUUGUCUUUUGUUGGGUGUCCUGAACAUACUCUCUUAUGCUGCCAUAUGUGAAGCUUUCUUUCGCAUCGUGCAGUUAGUAUGAAAGAAUUGUAAAUAAGCUUCCUUGGCAAGGUUUGUUUUCUUGAAAUAAUCAUGUAAGUAUUUACAAUCAAGAAACUAUAUAAUUUAUGGAACACUUUUGUAAAUUCUCGAAUUAAUUUUCGUAGUUGCUAUCUUUGUGUGUUGAAAAUCUAGAAUAUCUUUUUUUUAUGUAUAUCCCAUGAUCUCUGCUAUAUCCCAUGAUUUCUGCUAUAUCCCAUGAUUUCUGCUUUAUUUUAGGAUAGAAUAAUUUACUCCUAAUGUAUUUUAGGAUAGAAUAAAUUAGCUCCUAAUUUUUAGGAAAUUACAGAUUUCAGGGAAUUGACAAAAGUCCAAUUUCAUUUGUAUAAAUGUUGUACAGAGUCUAGAACAAGAGAUAUGACAGAACAAUUCAGUUUUCUUUUUUUGUUCAUGGUAUCAGAGCUUGGGACCUCUUCUUGUCAGCCUUCAUUGCUGAGUGCUUUCCUCUCUUCAAGUCUUUAUUGCCAAGUGCAAUUUCCAGCCUUCAUUGCUGAUAUUUUUCAUUAGGCCUUCAUUGCCAAUUUUUCUUUGAAACCUCCAACAUGUCUGAAACUGAAACAUCAGAAAUCCACUCCAAUACCAAAUCAGAAGAGACCUCAAAUAUUCCACAAAUAGGGGAUUUGUAGAAUAUCCAGGCAGCCUACAGGCUCAACGGGAAAAACUAUUUGAAGUGAUCACAAUUUGUUCAAACAUUUCUCAAAGGAAAGGGCAAAAUCAGCCACUUGCUUGGAACUGGACCGAAAAAGGGAGAUCCUAAAUUUGCUGCUUGGGAUGAAGAGGAUUCUAUGGUCAUGUCAUGGCUGUGGAACUCCAUGUUACCUGAAAUAAGCGAUACUUGCAUGUUCCUAUCAACAGCUCAAGAUAUAUGGUCUACUAUUCGACAGACCUAUUCAAAGGCAGGAGAUGCUGCCCUAAUCUAUGAGAUCAAAACAAAGAUCUCAGCCACUAAACAUGGCAACUUUUCUGUUACUCAAUAUGCCAACCUUUUGCAAAAUCUAUGGCAGGAACUGGACCAAUAUCGGUGUGUUCAGAUGUUGUGUAGUGAAGAUGCAGCCACCUUGAAAAACUUUAUCGAAAAGGAUAGAGUUUAUGACUUCCUUGCAGGUCUGAAUGUGGAAUUUGAUCAGGUCAGAGUCCAGAUAUUGGGGAAGGAAAGAUUAUCAUCUCUGAAUGAGACAAUAUCAUUGGUUCGAGCUGAAGAGAAUAGGCGAGAAGUCAUGUUAGAGCCUAAAACAUUAGAAGGCUCGGCAAUGAUUUCUACAAAGUCAAAUAAAGAUACAAUUUGGUGCACGUACUGCAAAAAAUCACGCCAUACGCGAGAUGAUUGCUUCAAACUCCAUGGGAAGGAACAAGUCCUUAGUCGUAAAGGAGGAUUCAAAGGGUGAAAAGCCCACUUAACUGCUGGAGAAGACCAAACACAAGAAAAAUCCAACCAGACUGGUAUGGGAGAAUUCAAGAAAGAAGAAAUUGAAAAGCUAAGAAACCUCCUAAAUUCCCUUGAAAAGUCCUCUAGUACGUGUUCAUUGGCUCAAUCAGGUAAGUACCUUAACUCUUAUGCUUUAAGUGCCUCAAGCAUGUCUUCUCUAGGCUCUUGGGUCAUCGACUCAGGAGCUACUGACCAUAUGACUCACAGACCAAUCAGAUUUAGAACAUACAACCCAUGUCCUGGAAAUAGAAAAAUUACUGUUGCGGAUGGAUCUCCUAUAACUGUUGCAGGCCAAGGGACAGUAAAUCUAUCAAAUUCUUUGUCCCUAAAUAAUGUGUUGCAUGUCCCAAAAUUGUCCUCCAAUCUCAUAUCCAUCCAUCAAAUUACCAAAGAUCUGAACUGUAGAGUAAUUUUCUAUACUACUCACUGUGUUUUUUAGGAUUUGGUUACGGGGAGGACGAUUGGACUUGCUAAGGUGAAUGACGGGCUUUAUUACCUUGAGGAGAUGAGUGGCAACAAGAAGAACAAAAAUCAGUUAUCCUCACCUGCUCCUCAAAUAAUAAAUCUGAAAUUUGGCUUCAUCAUUUCCGUCUUGGUCAUCCAUCUUUUAUGCUACUUAAAAGCAUGUUUCCUUCACUUUUCAAGAAUGAAGAUGUUAGUAGUUUCCAUUGUGAUACAUGUGAAAUUGCUAAACAUCAUAGACUAUCAUUUCCAUUGAGUAAUACAAGAUCUACUAGACCUUUCUCUUUGAUACAUACUGAUAUUUGGGGACCUUGUAGAAUUUCUAGUAUUUCUGGAGCAAAAUGGUUUGUCACAUUCAUUGAUGAUUGUACUAGAACUACUUGGUUAUUUCUUAUGAAAGAAAAAUCAGAAGUAAGCAGUAUUUUUCCAAUGUUUCAUAAAAUGAUUUGUACACAAUUUGGAAGUUUGAUUAAAAGAGUAAGAUCUGAUAAUGCAAGAGACUAUUUUAAUCAAAUUCUCUCAUCUUUUUUCCAAAAAGAGGGUAUAAUACAUGAGUCAUCUUGUGUAGAUACACCCCAACAAAAUGGGAUUGCUGAACGAAAAAAUAGGCAUUUACUCAAUGUGACUCGAGCAAUUUUGUUUCAACAUAAAGUUCCAAAAACUUUUUGGGGGGAGGCUGUUUUAACUGCUGCACAUUUGAUAAAUAGAGUACCUUCAAAAGUACUAAAUAAUCAAAGUCCCAUUGCUGCUCUUUCUGGUUUUUACCCUGAUUUUAAUGUCUCUUGCACAUUGUCACCAAAAGUGUUUGGUUGUGUUGCUUUUGUACAUGUUCAUGCACACCAAAGAGGGAAACUUGAUCCAAGAGCUUUAAAAUGUAUUUUUGUGGGAUACUCAAACACAAAGAAAGGAUACAAGUGUUAUCAUCCUCCUUCAAAAAAAAAAUUUUUUACCUCUAUGGAUGUCACAUUUGUUGAAAAUGAACCUUACUCUCAAAGUAACAAUCCUCAUCCCCAGGGGGAGAGUUCUUGGGAAGAUAAGGAAUUUCUCCUUGAUCUUCAAAGUUCUACACUAAACUUAAAGUCUUUCAAGCCGGACCAUACACCAAAUUCUAAAGGAGAACAUACUAGCAGUGAACCUGAACCUGAAUUUGAAGUUGAACAUGCCAGUAAAGAAAUUGAACCUGAUCUUGGAGUUGAGGGAAAAUCUGGUUUAAAUCCAACUACACCACUCAAGGUCUACUCAAGGAAGAAAGUUCAUAUUUCUGAACCUGUGCAAAUCCAAGAAUCUGAACCACAAUCAGGUACUGAAAAUUCUGUUCCUUUGUGUGUUCAAUCUGACUCUGCUCCUUGUGAAUUUAAUGAUUUAGACCUGCCUAUUGCUGUUCGAAAAGGAACACGAGAAUGCACUAAGCAUCCAAUCUCAAAUUUCGUGUCUUUCCAUAGAUUCUCUCCACAACAUAAAACUUUCCUUACCACCAUCAAUUCUAUUUCAAUUCCACAAACACUACAAGAGGCACUUAGAAAUAAGAAUUGGUUACAUGCUAUGAAAGAGGAGAUGAAUGCCCUAGAGAGAAAUAAGACUUGGGAAAUUGUAAACCUACCCAAAGGAAAGAAAACAGUGGGGUGUAAAUGGGUGUUUACUUUGAAAUAUAGAGCUGAUGGUUCAUUAGAAAGGCAUAAAGCUCGGUUGGUCGCAAAAGGAUAUACACAGACAUAUGGGAUAGAUUACCAAGAGACCUUUGCACCCGUUGCAAAAAUGAAUACUGUCCGUGUUCUUUUGUCUUUAGCCGCUAACUUUGGUUGGUGUUUACAGCAAUUUGAUGUGAAGAAUGCAUUCUUACAUGGGGAUUUAGAAGAAGAGGUGUACAUGGAACCUCCACCGGGUUUUAAUGAAAUGUUUUUUGAAAAGAAAGUGUGCAGGUUAAAGAAAGCUUUAUAUGGAUUAAAACAAUCGCCAAGGGCUUGGUUCGGAAGAUUUACUAAAGUGAUGUUAGCAAUGCAAUACAAACAAAGUCAAGGAGAUCAUACUUUGUUCAUAAAACAUUCAAAAGGAGGUGUUACAGCUCUACUUGUAUAUGUAGAUGACAUCAUCAUCACCGGGAAUGAUCCAAUUGAAAGAGAAACACUCAAAAAGUGCUUAGCAAAGGAGUUUGAAAUUAAAGAACUAGGGAGGCUGAAGUAUUUUUUAGGCAUUGAGGUGGCAUACUCAAGAAAAGGCAUCUUUGUUUCCCAACAAAAGUAUGUCUUAGACUUGCUUAAAGAAACAGGCAAUCUUGGAUGCAAGGCAGCAAGCACACCCAUUGAGCCUAACUUGAGAUUGAAUGAAGGGAAGGAUGAUAUCACAGUAGAUAAGGGAAGAUAUCAGCGGUUGGUUGGGAAACUGAUAUACUUGUCCCAUACAAGGCCGGACAUAGCAUUUGCUGUAAGUGUAGUAAGCCAAUUUAUGCAUGAUCCAAGAGAGAAACACUUGCAGGCUGUCAAUAGAAUUCUAUCCUACCUCAAAGGGACACCGGGUAGAGGAAUUUUGUUCAAGAAAAAUGAAGGAUUGCUCAUAGAGGCUUAUACUGAUGCUGAUUAUGCAGGUUCUGUUGUAGAUCGUAGAUCAACUUCAGGAUAUUGUACAUUUCUUGGUGGGAACCUAGUGACAUGGAGGAGUAAAAAGCAAUCGGUUGUUGCAAGAUCAAGUGCUGAAGCAGAGUUUAGAGCUAUGGCUCAUGGAGUUUGUGAAUUGCUAUGGCUCAAAAUAAUACUUGAUGAUCUUAAAAUCAAGAGUGAAGGACCUAUGAAACUCUAUUGCGACAACAAGUCUGCCAUCAACAUUGCACACAAUCCAGUGCAACAUGAUCGCACAAAGCACAUCGAAGUUGAUAGACAUUUUAUUAAAGAAAAGCUGGACAGUGGCAUGAUUUGCACUCCAUAUGUAGCAUCAAAUAAGCAAUUGGCAGAUGUCUUAACUAAGGGAAUGCCAACUUCCAACUUUGAAGACAUUACAUGCAAGAUGGGAAUGGAAAAUAUCUAUUCACCAUCUUGAGGGGGAGUGUUGAAAAUCUAGAAUAUCUUUUUUUAUGUAUAUCCUAUGAUUUCUGCUAUAUCCCAUGAUUUCUGCUCUAUUUUAGGAUAGAAUAAUUUACUCCUAAUGUAUUUUAGGAUAGAAUAAAUUAGCUCCUAAUUUUUAGGAAAUUACAGAUUUCAUGGAAUUGACAAAAGUUCAAUUCCAUUUGUAUAAAUGUUGUACAGAGUCUAGAACAAGAGAUAUGACAGAACAAUUCAGUUUUCUUUUUUUGUUCAUUGUGAUUAUUAGGUAGCUUGUAGCUCUGGCAAAAACGUUCCACUGAUUACCAGUCUUUCUGAGUAACUCUCGGCCAGAACAAUGUACUGGUGUCUGGUGAACUCAAAAAAUGGCAGGACUGUGUAUUGGUGUCUGGUGACCAAGUAGCUGCAAUUGACGUCUGGUGAGGCUAUUACAUGUACUCGGGCUUGUCUAUUUGCAACAAUGGCGGCAAUUGCUGGGGAGUUUGUGGUUAGAACUAUGAAACGGCAAACCUUGGAGUGUUGGACAAACACAAUUGCCCGGGUACCUGAUUUGGGUUGACAAUCAACUUUCCCUUCUGUUUCCCAACAAAUACGAGAGGAUAUGCCAAAUGGGGCAGAUGACUUUGGAGAGUGUGUGUGUGUUCCUCUACUGCCACUAAAACCUCAACGUUUAUGAGGGUUGAAAGUAAAUAUAAGAUGCAUAAAAAACUUGAAGAUUUGUUUAGGCCACAUCUUGAUUUACUGUUAAAGAUCUUUUCCACAUACCCAAAUACACAAAAGGCAAAUAAAUAAACUGCACAUGAAAAAUGAAAAAAAUUAUUUAUAAGCAACUCAGCAACUGUCGGACUAAUGCUAUGCAACCAGCCAAAAACAAAUCUGACAAAGAAGGUGGCAUCUGCUCGAGCAGAAUUUCCACGCUGAGCUGGGCUCUUGAGUAAUAGUUGAAAUCAACCAUUUAAGGGAUUCAAAUUUUUCUACUUCUUGUGCAACAGAAUGGAGCUUGCCAAGAAACAAAACCAGGUAAAAUUGGCAUUUCCCCAUCUAUCCAGUCAUCUCUGCGCCUGAUCAGAGCUUGAGCCUCCAGCUGCACUCGCUGGUAAACUGCUUGCAGAUCCAUUAUCGACCAGUGGAGGGACACCCCAUCUGCCAUCAGAUUCAAGGGGCUCAAAAACAUGGACCGCACCAUCUGAUAAACCUAUAGCAAACUGGUUUGGAUCCUGUGGAUGUGCAGCAAUUACAAGUGGCUGGACAUUGGAGUUGCUGCACAGGAAGUGAGAAUUUUUGGGAAUGAUUAAUACACAGCAGAAGUAUGAAACGCAGAGAAUUAUUUACACUAAUACGCAUAGUGCAGGAGUACCUUAUACUGUUGGGAAGAUAAGCAGGAGGACUUAUACGACAUCUCAUUUGUAAGUGAGUUGCUGUGAACACGCACACUGCAGCAUCUAAGAAGCUGGCAUACACCAGCUGGCUAUCGCAAGAGAAUGUUGCAUGAGAAAUUGGAGCACCAGAUUCACGCGGAAGCCACUAUAAGGAAUCAAAAUAUCAGCCUGAUAGCAGAGGGAAGUUCAACAGCUGAGUUUACAUGAAUCGGCAACUUACCUGCUUGACACAUUCCAGUUUUGUUGUCUCAUAUAUGGCAAGCUGAGUCUCGUGGACAACCAGGAAGUGAAUCUGAUCCUGAUGGAACUGCACACGAGUGUCCGAUUGUGCCAUAGGUGUCCUGCCUGAAGGAAUUUGCAAAAAUCUAGCCUUUUGCUUUUCCCAUCCAUCCGAGUUCCACACACAUAGCUGCAUAGCAACAUAAUUAGUUAAAAAAUCAGAACAGAAUCAGACAUCAGUCAGUAGUGAUUCAGAAUUCAAUCACUGCUAAUAGAAUGGUUUCAAGAAGGCUAUUUUGAGAAUCAAAUCCAAUGGGAAUCAGGGAAUUCCAUGCAACAAAGAAAAAGCACACUAAGCCAGGCACUUGAAGUUAAUGACAUUUGCAUGGUUGGCUUGUUAGACCCAACCAUGCAGAGCGUCCAGCCUGAUUUCUUUAUUUAAUUUAGCAGGAACAAUUGCAAAACAGUUCCAUCACAAGAACUAAAUGACUGCAGGACACAGAAUAGUUGUUAACCUGCGCAUCUGCUCCUGAUGAGACUAACACAUUUAGUACAUGGGAGAAAGCAAGGCCAGUAAUUCUUUUAGAAUGGCCUUUUAGCUUGCUUUUCACCUGCAACAACAGAAACGGAAUUAUUUCAUUACAGACUUAUUCACUAGAGUCACAAGGAUACAGUAGAAAAGCAUGUCUACACACCUCAUCUACACGAACGUUGUAUAUCUGAAUAGUUGAGUCAUCCAUGCCAAUAGCAAUAAUGUUGUUAUCUUGAGGAUGAAAUGCUAAGAAAGUAGCUGCAGGAGGUGGAGGCAUGAAAGUUGUCAUUGUCUGCAUUGUCCAGAAGAAACUGAGAUUAGUCAAAUGAGCAAUGAGCAUGUAUGAUAGCAUUCAAGGACGACAAUUUAUAAGCAUUUCGCACCUUAAAUGUCAUCAUAUUGAACAGGGAUAUUUUUCCUCCUGACGCUGACAUCACAUAAGAAUCAUUCUUAGACAGUGCAAAGCAGUGUAUAGCCUCCUCAGGACUCGAAUCAAUUACAUCAUUUGUCAUUAAUAUGCCACUUGCUGGUUGCCAUAAUUGAGGGGACGUACUGGCAGUUGCCUACAGAUGAAACAACAGUUUGUCACUAAGAUUUCAAAUUCCAAAUGACCACUGAAAGAGGUAAUUUUGAGUUUCUUAUACCUUGCCACUUGAAUUACGGUCAUUUCUCUGCCAUUUCCAGAGCAGAUGAAUGGCAUUUGAUGCUAAUGCUAAAAUGGCACUACCUGAAUUUGUAUACAUCAAUCUUGAUAUCUGGCAAGGCAAAUGACCGAGCUCUCAAUCAGUGAGACUUUAUAUGACCAACACAACGGGGAGCUUAUUGAGAAACUGAUAUAUAUAUAUAUAUAUAUAUAUAUAUAUAUAUAUAUGAAACAAGACAAUGAGUAAGAACUGUUGUGGUGGGAAGGACCUUUGUCACCCUCAGAUUCUCUGGAAGCUUCAAUGACCGGCACUGAGAAGGUUCACUAAUUUCGGUGAGCUUCCAAAUUUUGGAUUUGUCAUUUGUUUCUUCAUUGAGUCGAGGUUUGACAUCUCCCAGGUUUCUUGAUUCUCCAUUCUAAUGAAAUAAUUCACAUGCCACCAGAGAUAUCAAAUGCUUGAAUUUGCAAGCAACAUGAAAUGUCUCAUGUCUAGAUGGUUUAGUUUACCAAGGGAUGAAUGCUCCUUAUAACAGUAGUUACUGAUUCCAAAGAUCAUUAAAAUAUUCAAUUUGGAGAUUAAUAGUUGAAGUGUCCAUAGAUACAAACCACUGCAGAAAUACUGACAACAGAGGCUACCCUGUCUGCAAGUCCUGAACUAUUAGUAGCUGCCGCUGCUAUUGGAUUCAACGAGGGCUGUAGGAUAUGAAAAUAUAGCACAUUCUCAAGUCAUGGUUCCUUCAAGAUUCAGGUUAAUAUUUAGCAAGCAAAGAUAUAUGCAAAUACAUAUAUAUACCACCUUGGUUGCAGCCUCAGCUUGUGAUGCAUCAUAAGCAAGAUUUUCAAAUGUUCGCAGCAAUCGAAGACCAUCAUUAUUUGCUAGAAUUUUGAUCCCAUUUUCAUUGGUAGAAACAGCCAACAGGAUGCCCUCUUUAUUGAACCUGAUUCGAGGGCUUGCCUUUGAUGAGGGAAAAGGAAUGGAGACUUAGUCCAAACUUGUAGCACAGUCAUGAUUAUUCCAGCUUUAACAUAUCAGGAAGAUCUAAAAGAAAAAAAGAAAAGACUUACUGGGAGACCUCCAUCAGCAUCAAUAGUUGUCAGAAGUUGAACAUUGUCCAUAUCCCAAAACUUGACGGAGAAAUCAUCACCAGCUGCCAAAAACCGGUUCCUAGUUGUAUCAAACUGCACAACACCCAGCGAACGUUUUCGAAAGCCUUGGUAUGUCCUCUUCACAGCACCUUCACUUUCAUUCCAUUCAACAAUGUGGGAUUCCCCAUCUUUGCUGGUCCCACAAGAAAAAAGCCUGGAAAGCAAUCAACCCGACCAACAAAGGAAUAUGGAAAAAAAGACAAUGAAAAGCUUUCAGUAUAAUUGUGGAAGAUUCUGGAAUAUAUUAAACAUAAUUAAUGAGCUUAACCUCGUUCCAUCAGCACUAUAGGCCAUUGUUGUACACCAACGGCCAGGCGCAUCAUAGUCAACUCGUGAUCCCAAAUUAUCAUAUAACCAUGCUUUAAUUUUCCCAUCUAGGGCUGUUGAAAAGAUAAACUGAAAUAAAAAUAAAGGCACAAGUAAGCUGAUGCUCCUGGAGCUUAGAAUAAUCAAUAGGAAUAUGACAUUUAAUAGCUUUACUACCUGAAUAUUUUCUUUGUAGUGGGGGCACACAGAAUAAACUGGAGCCUCAUGACCUUCAAAGGUAUAUUGUUUUGAACCACUUGCCGCAUCCCAAACCUAAGAUCAUCAAGGACGAGAGGAAGUUUCAAAUAAUCAACUACCAACCAUUACAACUCCAUGACAGCAAAAGGAAUACCUAUCAAUGUCAAACCAACCUUAAUUGUCUUGUCAUCACCACAUGUUAUCACGCAGAGCUGCUUGUGGGGGUGAGAGAAUGCUAGAUCAUUGACUCCACCUACAUGAGCAUCAAUCUGGAAAGGCAUAGAUCAGUGCAAGUUGAACAAUAAUGGACUGACAAGGUUUAAAUUAUUCUCAUAAUAUACCUCCAAAUGCUGUCGAAUAUCAUCAUUGCCAUGAUAAGAGUAUAUUUGUACAAUGUGCCUUGAAUAUGCAACUCCUAUUUAAGAGAAAAAGGGAAAAAAAAAAUACAUCAGACUUGUGUCUCAAAAUUCAAUGUAAAAAUUUUUUAAAAAAAAUCAAAUCCCUACCAAAUAAAGAUCCAUCAGGGCUCCAAAUCACACGGUUAACUGAGACAUGAGGAUCUUUCACUAGAGCAGCCUGAAAUCAACAAGAAUGCAUCAAUUUUUGGAGAGAUGCGACAAUGUCAUUAAGCUAAAGUAAAUUCACAAAAAAGCAAUGGCCUGUUUAUAACACACAGUUGACAAUCUGACCUGCAGAGGCAUAGUACAUGCACUCAGGUCCCAAACUUUGAAGUUCCUUAGUAUCAAUCUCUUCCUGGAGCCAACUUCCCAAAGUCCAGUAUCCCCCACAUUGGUACCCACUGUUGCAUCAGAUUGCAUGAAUUUAAAUCAAUCAUUAGGAAAUACAGCAUGAUCACCAAGCAAACAUCCCGGAUCCAAGUUGUUUUGGGGAGGAAUCACCGCAACCAUACCUAGGAGUAGAGUCUGUUGGAUAGGAUGAAAGUCCAUGCUCAUAGGAGAUGAUCCUUGAUUCAGAGUUCGUGCCAGAGUCUUUGGCAAAUCAUCAGGAACACUAAAUGCUUGACUAUGACCAUGUCCAGGAAAUGACACUGGCAGCACAUUGACUGGAAGAUUUACCUGCACAUGUUGAACACAGCAUAAAGGAUGACGUACCAUAUGGUACUCUUAAAAGCUAAACUCAGAAAGCAAAAUGUAUUGGAUUCAAUGAGCUACCUCUUCAGUCAAACUUAUAGGCCUUGUUCUUUUGCUUAAUUGAUCAGAAUCUCCAGAUGGGUAGUCCACAGAAGUUGCUGGCGGAGUCCUAGGAUGCUUAAGAACGGCUACACAAGGCAAUGGAAAAUUUUUUCUUGUGAGGAAUUCUACUAGAAGUAUACUUGACAUGUUGAAGUUUAAAAAUAUUUACCUGGCACAGGUGGAGCACCAAUACCUAUAGGUCCACCGGAAACAGCUGGAUGAGUAACUGCAGGUGGAUUAGACAUCCACCCAGCAAGAGGAGCUGGAACUGGUGCUGGAGUAGGUUGAAAGGGCUGAAAAUAUUACCCAAUAGAAAAUAAGUACAAUAAGUGAGAAUGAGAAAAAUUAAUAAUUGCUGAAUGGGUUCAGAAUACUAACCCCAUGUAUGCCAAGAGGAGGAAAACCCCCAGCUUUUGGUACUGAUCCAAGCAAGGGAUUGCCUGCAGGAGAGGGAGCACGAGCACCAUUUGCUUGUCCACAAGAGUGGUCAACAAAAAGAGUUUUAAUGUCUGGAUUUGGCCUGGGGUUUUUACAAAGUUGGUGCUGCCAAUUUAAGCUGCAAUAUGCCCACAGUGCCAGUCAUGACAACUUCCAUAUUAACGUUAAAGCUCUGGCACUUGAACUGAACGUUUAAGCCCAAGCAAAAGUUUACCUUUGAUUAAUAAGAGUCCGUAACCUGGAAUUUUUAAGGUUAGGAAACUGCAAUUUAUCACGAAAUAGGGGAUUUGCUUCAAUAAGCUUCUUGAGCUCAACCAGCAUAAUUGCUCGGGCUGAUUUAGUAUCUCCAUAUUUGGAAAGCUGCUCAUUCUCUCUAAAACAAUGGAAACCCAACUUAGUAGAUAUUGCAAAAUUAACAAAUAAACUAUACAAAAAUGUUGUGAGUUAAUACUUGCCUAAAGUUCUCCAGUGUCAGCAGCUGAGUUAUCUCCUUAAAAAGUUCUUCGUUAAAGGAAGCAAAGACUUUAAGAUCCUUGACAAGAAUUUCAACAGCCUUGGUCCGGUCAUGCCUGCAAACAAACAUCAUUUCACAUGAAUACACCACGAAAAGUGAUCAUUUUUACGCUAAUAAUUUGACAUUUACUAGCAACCACAAGCUUACUUAUCCAAUGCCUCAAGAUAUUUCUGCUUUCUGAUCUCAAAGAAGAUCUUCAUUGAAUAGCGGUUAUCAUCAACUUUUGUGAAACCAGAGAGGUACUUCUCAACUUCAUCCCAAUUACCAUUAUGCACUUCAUCCUCAAAGUAUUUCAUGUUAAAGAAAAACCCAGAUUCUUGUUCAAGCCUAUCAUCAGAAAACUCCAUAAUUAUUACCAUUUCAUUGGAAAAAUGCUCAAAAUAAAUACAUGCAAAAAAAAGAAGCAUAUUAAAAAAAAAAAAAGAAUACACACGUGUAUAUUUGUGAUAAAUGCAAAAGACCACCUACUUGUGGACUGUCUCCUUGAACUUUUCCUCAUCCAGAAACUGUAAGAUCAAGAACACAAGUUCUCUGCUGAGUGAUGUCAUUGUUAUCAAGCUACCUUUGGCUUCAAACACCAGAGCCACAAUAAACAGCUAAGAUCAUAGCAGAUCUGCAAAACCCACAAAUUGAUUUACAAUAUCAUACCUAUGCAAAUAAAUAAAUUAAUUAAAUAAUAGGUCAGUGCCACUAAGACUUUGUUAAUUAGCGGGUCCAAGCAUUUAAUUAUUGCGGGACACAACCUUCUAAACUCUAAUAAAAUAAUCAUAAGAUUUAACUUGUCCUUGCCCAAAAUAAAGGUCCCUCUUUUAACCUCAACUCCUCUUGCCCAAAGAGAAAAAUAACCCAAGUCAGAUCAUAGAACUGAUCUGCAAUCCAAAAUAGAGGAAAACAAGACAGCACAAGAUCAUCAUCAUACAGCUUUCAGCAUGCACCGACAAAUACAUGUGGAAAGGUUGAGCAGGAAAAAGAAAAGCAAAAAGAAAAAUAAAGACUUCAACUUUAACGGAUCAGAGAAAUGAAAGUUGCUUUAAAACACCUUGGAAUCCAAGAUGAAAAAAGAAAAGAGGACGCAAAUGAAGAACCCAAAAAGCAAGUCAAGACUUCUCAUCCAUAAUAUAGAACAGAGGAUGAGAAGAAAGUAAAAGAUUUUUAAAAAAGAAAAAACACAGUUGUACAUAUACGACAUAGUAACAAAGAUUCAGAAAACUUCUACCUUAAACCAGAACAGGAACUCGGACAGGGAUCAAAAGUCCUAUUUCUGCUGGAGAGCUUCUAUCUCUACUUUAUCUCACUACCCAAUCUUGGAGAAAUUAAAAUAAGACCUGAGUUUUGUUUAGCAAAUGUUCAUUUUUAUAGGCAGAUAAGUCAAGCAAGGUAAUGGUGAUAAGUACUUGCGCUUAUCAGUAUCUGAAGCUGUGCUUAUAAUAAGUCCAAGUACUGUGGGCCCCACUGAGCCGGCUACAUUUUGUCUGACUCAAUCGGCUUGGAAUCUUCAGCUAAGAGCUGUCUCCCUUAAGUUGUAAACAUAAAAAACGUGGACCGUACCUUAUUGACGUACGUUAGCAAAUUCUGAGCCGUUGGAUGAUACUGCGGACCGUUUAUUGGGGCUGUGAAUCGGGGGUUGUGAAGUGAGGAAUGCCUGCAGCUGAGAAGCAGGGAGUAAUAAUUCGGACAGUGGCUCUGGCUCUGGCUCUGGCUCUGGCUCUGGCUCAGAUAAUUAUAGAUCCCUUCCACUUUAAAGUUACAAAGGUUUCUGGGUGACGCGCUUCAAAAAUAAUUGGUCCAGUUUUGACCGCAAAUUACAAGACUUUGCCAUUGAAUUCUCUUGUCUUUAUUAUAACACGAGAUGCACUGGCGAAAACGACAGCAGAUGCAAAAUCAAUUUUUCGCCGAUAUUCUGGCGAGAGGAUUUUCCACAAACGAGAACAGAGGACUUGCAAACGUUUUCUCUGGGAAAAUACCGAGUCAGUACACCGUGUCACUUUAGCGUCUCAUCACUAUUAAGCACUGCUUGUUCUUUCUAAUUAAUGAGUCAUGGAUAAUCUAAAGGAGGGAAAGGUCAGACCACUGAUUAAAGGCAUGAGUAUAUUAUUGUCUUGAUCUGUUGUCCACGCGCACGUGGAGGCUUUUGAACUACACUCUAGCCCGAUGAAUGUUGCAUCCUGCAUGGAGAGAUGUCUUUGCUGACAGAAAGAAAGAAAGAAAGGAAAUUUAUCCUUUAACAAAUGGACAUAAAUGAUGUAUACAAGAAGGAAGGAAAAUUCAAGAGUUGUGCGAGUCACCUAUGCCAUCCCUUCUGGACAUGUGCUUUAUCUGUUUUUAGCGCAAAAUGUCAAGAGACUCGGGAUCAAAGAUUGAAAAAAAAAAUUUUUUAAAUACACUACAAAGCCAAGGGAGUUUGUUCGGAUUGAUAUGAUUUCAGAUAAAAUAAUUUACUUCAUAAAUUUUAAUCACCUUGUUUUUUCAAAAAAAUUUAUCUUUUUGUUACUCCCUCCAUCCCAUUCAAAAUGUUAUUAUGUUUUUCAUUUUGAAAUAUCUCAAAACAUUUGUUACGGUGAAAAAAGUAAAAGUAUCUUUUAGCCCUUUUUUUUUUAAAUAUAAUCAUUCUUUCUAAUCAUAUGUAUGUUAUCAUUUAAAUUAAAAUUUUAAAUUUAUAGAAAUAAAAUUGAAAUAAAAAAAACACAAACAUCACACAAUCAAAUCACACUUACUAUUUUUAAAAAUUGAAUUCUUGAAGGAUAAUUAAAUAAUUGGGACGGAGGGAUUGUUUCUGCGAUACAGCCUUCGUCUGCCCAACACCGUGAACCAUAAAUAGUUGCUACCGAAAAUUUGCGCUUGUCCAAUGUCGUGACCCUUCAAGUUAGGCCAUGAAUGUUACGGCACUUUCCGUCUUUCUUUUUCUUUUUGUUUUGAUUUCUUUGUUUGAUUGAUGUACGUAAUGGCAAUUUCGUGUUGCUAUGUAAGUGGACAGCUUUCAUGUCAAAUUUUAAGGAUUGAUGCUGGAGCUGUAGGUGGGUGGGGACUAGGGAAAUGUUUUGACAGUGGUCCAUCUCGUCCGAAUCAUGACAUCCAAUCUAGACAUUCUAGACCUGAUCAUCGUUGUCUCACACUUCAGUACUGAAGCAGGUUUCGAAGCUCUUUUUUACCAGUUAAAAAUUUUGAAGCCAGUGGAUCUGGUCAUUCGCAAGUUUUAACAGUAGUAUUUUGGUCGUUAAAGCAACUAUGUACUUGUCUUCGAUCGGCAGGGAUUAGAUGCCUCUUAAGGCUCUGAUUAAGGAAACGGACUUGCGGGAGGUGUAGGAUGUAACAUUUCACGCGAAUAGAUUCCUAAAGACUUUUAUACUUAAUUCAAUUGUGUCAAUUGCAUGGAUUCUUCUAGGAAACAUGAUAACCAAAAAAAGAUUAAAAAAAUAUAUAUGGGUCUAAAGCUAAAUUUUAUUUGUAAAUAUGUUAAUUUUUUACCCUUGGAAUUAAAAUGUGAGGAUUUUUAUGAUAGAUUACCCUUUUUUUUUUUGUGUUGGUGUGGUUAUUUCACGUCUCACGAUACGAAAUAAGAAAAUAUUGUAUCGUGUACUUUAUGAUUGUUAUCUGGUAUUAAUCAUUAACUCUAUGCCAAUUAUGGUAAUCAUAUCUAAAAUUUAUGACCUUUGGCAUAUAUAUUGCAAAUCCAAUGAGACAGGAAGCGGUGUAGAAUCUACGCGUGCAUUUUUUUAAAAAAAAAAAAUUCAAGGAAAGACUCCAAUUCUUAUACUCGUAAAGAAGAAGAAGACAGAAAAGGAAUGAAUUGUGAAUAGAAAUUCGUUGCGGAAUUAAUAAUUAUCGGACUAACUUAAAUUAAUUAAAGUAAAUGCUUACAUUUGCAGUGUAUGCUGUCGCGUGUUGUGUGGCUGGCAUCCCAAAUCCAACAAUGGGCUGGACGAGGCAUUUCAUUAUUAUUCCGGAUUAAGCCACGCUCUUCAUUAGUUAACUCUUGUUUGGAUGACGUGGCGGCAGCCUUAUUUGGACGUGUUUUCCUUACAUUUAUUUCCAAACCAAUAAUAUUUUCCUUGUUUCUAAUCUGAUACACUUUGUCGGAUUGCGACGUGUUUGGUUUGCUGUGUAAUGCACAUGACUGCGACAUCCGAUAAGUAUCUGGGAAAAAGAAAAUUGAAAGCGAAUGCCCCAACUGCCCAUUUCCCAUUUGAAGACCAACAACACAUCAUUGAAGGUUUAAACUCCGUUGAAUUGCAAGGGAUUCUUUUCCUAUCAGGCAGUCUAAUGUGUUUUUUUCUUUUUUUUUUUUUUUGAAUUUCUUGUGAUUACAUAAAUAAUUGGCUAUUUUAACUUGAGUCUAAUAAUAGUCGUGCACGUCAAUAAUUAAGUAAUGCCAACAAACGAAUACCAACAAUCCAAAGACGCCAGGGCGGCACUAAUUGAUUCGGCACAACAAAUUACUUAGAAAAACACAUAAAAGAAAGGCGGCAGCAGUAAAAUUUAGGGUUAAUCAUAUUUUAUGCCCUUAAAGAAUACUCCAUUUCUCAGUUUACCCCCUAACCUUUAAUUUUGCUCACUUAAUCCCCUUUAGGACAAAAUUGCCCUUGCAUUAUUUUGACUUUUCAUUUACCUUGUUUUCCUUUUUUUAUUUCUUUUUCUCUUUCUUCUUUAUUCAAUUCUUCCUCUUUCCCAUAAAAAUCUUCACCUUAAUGAUUGAAAUUAAAAAAAGAGGAAUUGCAAAUAUCUAUCUUCUCCUUAAAUAAUUAAAAAAAUAUUCAAAUCACUUUCCUAAAAUACAAAUUUUUUAGCCUUUCAAUUCUUUUAAUUUUGGGUUUUCCUCUUUCCUUUCUAGUUUCUCAUUUUAUUGCCAAGAAAAUAUCUUAAAAUGAAAUUGUGACCUGAUUAAUAACCAUCAAUUGAAAUUUGUGACACGUGGCAUCAUACAAAAAAUAAAAUUUAGUUUUUGAUGCUUUUUAAACCUUCACCCAGAAAUAUGCAAUUACAAACUCAAAACAAAAAUUUUCAUUGAAAUGAAAUUUCUAUUGGGAAGGAAUAAAGUAGAGAAGAAAGAGAAAAGAAAUAAAAGAAAGGAAAACAAUUUCAUCUUAUGAUAUUUUCUUGAGAAUAAAAUGAGAAACUAGAAAAGAAAGAGGAAAACCCAAAAUUAAAAGAAUUGAAAGACUAAAAAAUUGUAUUUUAGGAAAGUGAUUUGAAUAUUUUUUUAAUCAUUUAAGGAGAAGAUAGAUAUCUGCAAUUCCUCUUUUUUAAUUUCAAUCAUUAAGGUGAAGAUUUUUGUGGGAAAAAGGAAGAAUUAAAUAAAGAAGAAAGAGAAAAAGAAAUAAAAGAAAGGAAAACAAGGUAAAUGAAAAGUCAAAAUAAUGCAAUGGUAAUUUUGUCCUAAAGGGGGUUAAGUAAACAAAAUUAAAGAUUAGGGGGUAAAUUGAGAAAUGAGGUAUUUUUUAAAGGGAUAAAAUGUGAUUAACCCUAAAAUUUAUGUUGCAUUCAACUUCAAAGUCUAUCCUGUAGAUUUAUCCUUCAAACUGGGAAGUGAUGAAUCAGGAUAAUCUCAAAUUAGGUUGUCGGCAUUUAUAUAACUUCAGAAAUAGGACAGCAUGUGACGAGCUCUGUACAGUUUAAACGAGUGAGGACUGAGGACAAAGCAAAUUAUAUCAUAUCACCUAUUCAAUUGAGAUGGUGGCAUUCCAUAUUACUAUUGCAUAUAUAACUUGGACGGUAUUUCAAUUUAUAAUUUAUUAAUUAUUUUAAUAUAUUUCUUCUUCUUCUUCUUCUUUCCUUUUGACAAACGAAAGUUGAGGUAAUCUAAAAAUCUACAUUACUUUAUACUUUGAUAUUUUACCUUCAAAUGGAUAAUUCUAAUACACUGGCUUUUAUUCUAAGACGUAAUUAAUUUUUAGGAAAAUUUUUGUAUUCAAUUUUACAAUUUUAAUCUAUAAAAUGUUAGAGGAAACAAAAAGGUUUUGUUUCAUGCCAAAUUUUAACUCUAAACUAGAGAAGCAUAGCAGUAAUUGUCAAUUUUAAUGUAAAUAUGAUGUAUUUGUUAAGAUUUGUUAGUAUGGCUCGCGAGCAAUUUGAAUCAAAAAAUUUUGAUUUGUAUUCGAGUUGAAUCAAAAGUAGAGCUUGAAUUCAAAAAUACUCAACUCGUUAAUUUGCAAGUUGGCUUGAUAUUUUAUAUAUAUAUAUAUAUAUACGUAUACAUUUUAUUUUUUAUUUUAAUAGUAUAAUUACAUAUAUUUCCUAAAAUUUUAUUAGUUGGUUAAAAAUUAUUUUUUAUUCAUUUUUAAAAAAAUAAAAUAAUUAUUUUUAUUUUUUAAAACUCGAGCUCGACUUGAAUUUGAGUUAAACUCGAGUUUGAACUUUACAUUGAGAGCUCGUCCAUCUUGCUUGAUAAAACUAAGGCCCUGUUUGAUAACCUAUUUUAACACUUAAAUUUAAUGAAUUCAAAUAUUAACAUAUUUUUUAUAACAAAAAGUUAAACACAUGAUUUAAUUAAGUGACACUGAAUUUUCUAAGUAAAAUUUGCUCCCAAAAUUAAGUGACAAACUAUUCACUUAUCACUGAAUGUGAUAUCCACUCAAAUAUAUUAAAUUUAAUACUUAACAGUUUAAUAAUUUUAUGGAUUCAAAUUUCAAUUUUAUCAAACGCACUCUAAAUCUCGAUUUGACUCGAUUAUAUCAAAAUGCGACUAGACUUGAUUCAUUUGCACUCCAUUUAUUAGGCAUUAGUUAAUAUCAAACUGGCCAUAUAAAUAUACAUAGUCACAUUUAUUAUGUUUCUAUAUUUAGAUACAUUUUCGAAUUAAUUGCAUUGUUGUAAACAAAUGGGUAAUUUCAUCACACGCCUCUUAAUCAAACCCUGUAUUUAUUAAAGGAAAAGGGAAAAAAAAAAAAGGGUAAUUGCAGAGUUGUUUGCGCCUCUCGAGCUUCAUCAACCAUGUGUACUUAAGUGAUAAGUUACUAAAUUUAAAGGACAAGUUUAGAAUGACACAUAAGGGUAGCAAAUUCUAGAUCCUACUAUAUAUAAGAUCGCUUUUAUAACCGGUGGGUGUGGAUCGGAAUGCCAAUCUCACGAGAAAGUUCAUUCAAGGUUACGUUACACAUCGCUUUCCCCAGUCCCAAGAGAAGUCAUCUCGAAAAAAUGAGACGAUACAUAUUCAACACAAAAGCUGGUAACGUCUGGAAAAUGACAUAAAACAUGAUCAUAGCACGAGAAAGUGAAAAACGUACGCUAUUUUGGUAAUAUCCUCUCCCCUGCAGCAGUGGUAGUCGUAGUAUUUAAAGGGGAGAGAGAGAGAGAGAGAGCAUAUUAAGGUGUCAGUGUCGGACAGUGCAUUAUUUACUUAAAUUCAAUUUUGGAGUAUUAUUGGAACUUGGAAGUGCGAAACUCCGAAAGUGGGCUUACGCCAUAAUAAUAUGACUUGUCCUUUCUGCUCAAGGAGGUGGAGCGGUCCCCACGUGUUCACUGUCCCAAAAUUGAAAAAAAUAAUAAUAAUAAUAAUAAAGAGGUAGACUAGUACUAGUACUCCCGAAAGAAAAUAGUACAAGACGAAGAUGGUCGCCUGAAAAGGUAGGUUUAACCGUUUAAAUACUCCACCACUUGAUCAAGUUACCUCAUGGCUCGUGGCAUUGUCAAUUGCUGACUCUGAUACUCUCCGGUCUCCACCACAAUUAGCAGCCCUUCCCUUCCUCCAUCAAUAUCUUUCCCUUUUGCUUCCUUGGGUGGAAAAGUCUUUCUCUCUCUUUUUUUUUUUUUUUUAAUAAUUUCCUCCGUCUGUUCUCCCUCAGGUGCUCAGUUAUAUGAGAAUUUUCAUAAAUGAGCUAUAGUCUCGAACACGUGAUCUAUCGACACGUCUUGAUUUUAGUGACAACUGGAAAAAUCAAAUUCAUCCGAACUUUUUAAUUUUUUUAAAAAUACCCAUUUUAAAAUUUUUUCAUGGUAAUAGUAUUGCCUAUAAUAAUUUACAUUAUUAUGCAAAUCACAAUGAGGAUGAAAAGUGAUAUACUGCUGUCCUAUAAAAUUUUUUUUAAAUAAUUAUUUUGUUCUUGAUUUUAUGUACAUGCCUGCCGUAUGAGUCUUGAUUUUAUGUACGCGACUAUUUUAUUUUAUUUUAUUUUUUUGCCCUUCCAGAAAAGGAUGAUUUUCUUGGUAAUGGGGAUCUAGUACAACGUUAUGUGGUAUUUUCUCCGUCUCAUUUUGGUAGUUCUAAUUUUUUUUUUUACACAGUUUAAGAAAAAGUAGUUAACUUUGUUUGAACAAUCAAUUUAGGUAACUAUUUUUCUAAAAUACCCUCACAUUAAUUAGAGUACAAUUUUAUGGAAACUUGAAUUGAUGGUAAAAAAAGAAUCAACUUUCAUUAAAUGUGAUAGAUUUAUAGUAAUAAUAACUUACAUUGAAUAAGGGUAUUUUAGAAAAAUUAAAAUAUAAAUACAUUUUUUAAUUAAAAAAUAAACUAUAAUUUGAAAUAAAAAAAAUAUAUAACUAUCAAGGUGGACGGAGGGAGUAUGUUUCCCGUACAGAGAAGCUGGUUUUUUCUUAAAUGAAGAAACGAAUGUAUUCUGCUAAUGUAGAAAACCAACAUAAAGGUGACAAAUGGAUAGUGGUGGGCCAAGCAAGCAAGGACAAGCAAACUUGUUAACCGGCCAGGCAUCAAGGGCAAAACCGGCAACAUAAUUUGUUGUGGGACCUCUCGGAAUUGACAAUGGCGCGAAAUGGUCAGUAAAACCUUCUGUUGGCGCCAAAGAAAUGCAAUGGCGCGAAAUGUAUUCUGACGAUUAAGAUAUUUCCAAAUUGCCCGCGUGCCACUGGUCAGGAGGGAGAUUUGUUAUCAAAACUUGGAUUUGUUUAAAGGCGUGCUCUAUCAUUUUGGCAAGUGGCGUGCUUUAACUUUCAUGAAAACCACACGCUUUUAAGUUAUUAUAAUUAAUUGAUAUAUAUGAGAUCAUAUUAGUAACUUUAAUCAACUAUGUUCGAUUUAGUUGACCAUGAACAAUCAUAUAAAUUAGUCCUAUUAAUAGUUGUAUAAAUAAGCCUAAGUAGUUAUAAUCGUUGGAAUCCACUAUCUGACAAUGAUCUAACAACAAAUUGAGAGAUAACAAUGAUCCAUAUCUAUCACCAUCUUAUGAGCUAGCAUCAAGGAAUCGACAAUAGAUUAGACCCUUAAUUAGUUAUAAUCGUCGGAAUUGACUGUCCAAUUUAAUUGUUAUAAUGAGUUGUUAUCAUCUUAGCCCAACAACGAAUUGGGGAAUUCAUAGGAAGAUGAUCCAUAUAUACAAUCGUCUACUUAUGAGGUAGCACCAAGGAAUCUAUAAUCAAAUUAGAGACUUAAUUAGUUAUAAUCGUCGGAAUUGACUAUCCAAUUUAAUUGUUAUAAUGAGUUGUUAUCAUCUUAGCCCAACAACGAAUUGGAGAAUUCAUCGAUUCCGAUGAUCCAUAUCUACAAUUGUCUACUUAUGAGUUAGCACCAAGGAAUCUAUAAUCAAAUUAGAGACUUAAUUAGUUAUAAUCAUCGGAAUCGACUAUCUGAUUAAUUGCUGUAAUUAGCUAUUAUCGUUAUAGUCUUACAACGCAUUAGGAAAUUCAUAACGAAAUGAUCCAUAUCUAUUACCAUUUUCUUAUGAGCAAGCACCACAUCUAUCGACUAUCGGAUUGAAUGCAUAAUUAGGUGGUAUUUGGUAAAAAGGUUUUGGUAUAGAGAAUUGAAAUAAAUCUCAUAAUCAUUGUUUGGAUUACUACUAUCGGAAUUGAAAUUUUGGAAUUAUAUCUAAAAAUUUGGAGUUUUCCAAUUCCCUAGUAAUUUGAAGGGUAUUGGAUAAAAGCCAAGUCUGAUUCCCUUUUAGAAACGAGGCUCGUCCCACUACUUGUUAAAAAUUAAUAUAUAAUUAUAUAAUAUAUUUAUAAUAAAAAAUGUAAAUGUAAUUAUAUUUAUAAAUAUUAUAUACACAUGUAUAAUAUAUUAUAUAAAUAUAUAUUAUAAAUUUAUUAAUAUUAUAUAAUAAUAUAUUAUAUUAGUUAAUUAAAUUCAUAAGGAGAGGAAUUAUCAUAUUAGGAGGUUUAAUCUUUAUUGCCUUAUUUUCUUCCAUCUUAGGAGUUUUAAUCUUUAUUACCUUAUUUUCUUUACAUGUAUAUUAGUACUAGUAUUCAUUUCAUUGAAUGUGAAUUAGUAACACUACUAGUUUUCAGUACACGCGUGGCACGUACUAGAUUUAGCAUUGUUACAAACUAGUAUAUCAUUACCGUGUAUUAUAUAUUAACUUUGGUUUACACGUGUAUUAAUUCAACUACUUAUAUCCAUUUAUUGGCAUCUCAAGACCGAUCAUUAAACACGAAUUACAGAGCAUGCUUGAACAAAAAAUACAAAAUAAAAGUCAAUGUUAAUGACGAUAAUUACUCUGCAUGCAUGCAAAAAUUGCAAAUUAAAUGAGCGUCUGGAUAACAACGCAUAACUGCCACGUUGGCAUAACAUAUUCUUCAAGUAUGAACAUGGCACGUGGUAAUAGUGAAUUCUUACAUUGUGAUGAAAAAAAAAAUGAUUCUACAACGAGGGCGUAUUGUGAAUGGUUUUCUGGAAUUGGGGUCUUCGCAUUCUCAGAAUGCGAGCUCAUUGAGCUCGCAUUUUGAGAAUGCGAGCUCAGUGAGAGCUCAACAUCAAAAUGCGAGUUCAGUGAGCUCGCAUUCUGAGAAUGCGAGUUCAGUGAGCUCGCAUUCUGAGAAUGCGAGCUCGCACUAACGUUGAAACCCGCAAGCGGGAUUCUGUGUUUUUUCUAUUUCAAGGUUAGCUCGCAUGCGGGUUAAUGUUAUAUUUGAGCGCGAGAAGAAAAAAUUGGUAAUUAGGCUCUUUGGGCAUUAUAAGUAAAUAUUUAAAUUAAUGGCAGUUUUAUUACACCAAUAUUAUUGUAUUAUCAUUAUUAUGAUUAUUGUAUUAUUUCUUAUGCAAAUAUAACAUUUAAUUAUUUAAAUUUGAUUUUAUUUUUACAAUUUAUAAAAUUUUUAUCACUUAUAUAAUAUUUUUAAAACCCUAAUACAUUUAAAUUUGAUUUUAUUUUUCAAAUUUAUAAGAUUUUUAUUUAAAAAAAUGGGAUACGGAUAAGAUAUCCGGUUGGUUCGAUUUGCAUAGGUGCAUAUGAGAAUAUCCGAAUACUCUUUAAACCCGCAUGCGGGUUUAAGGAGAUUAUGGCAACUCUCUGACACACUAAAUAAAAAAGAUAAGAGCUCGCAUUUGCUUCCUAGAAAUAAUUCCCUAGCUCUUAAAAAAGGAAAAAAAAAAAUUGAGAAGAGCUCGCAUUCGUGGAAUGCGAGCUCAAUAACCAGAGCUCGCAUUCCACGAAUGCGAGCUCUUGUAAGCUCGCAUUUGUGAAAUGCGAGCUCAUUGAGCUCGCAUUUAGCUCGCAUUUCACAAAUGCGAAUACCCCCCUGACGGAAAUUAAACCUAAAAUCACCCUUUUUGUAGAAUUUUUUUAAAAUUCAUCACAAAGUUGGAAAUUUCUCCAACAGUCUUGUAUGUUUGUCGGCAAGCAUUAGAUUCUUCAUAAGACAAAUGGUGUCGGGUUGGGCAGCCCUAUAUGUGUCCUUAUAUAUGUUAAAUUCAUUUUUUACCCUUUAAACAAUUUAUCAUUUUUUUAGUUGGUCAAAUGAAAGCUUUUACUUCUACAACCGGUAUCCAACCACUACAUCUGAAAUCGUGCCACUUCUUUUAAGUAGGAUCCAACGGCUAUAUUGCACACAAGUCCAUCUUAUGGUUCAAAUUAAAUUUCUACCACAACAGACAAAAGAAUUAUUUCUGUGCUGAAGUGAUAUCCCAGAGAAGCUAAUUAGCCAGGUUUCGAAAUUCAUUCACACAUUGUUCCGUUCACAUAUUGCUUUCAAUUAUAUCAAUCGUCAUUGCGUUGAAAGUUGAAGGCACAAAAAACAAACUGUGAAUGAGGUAAUCAAAUUAUGUUUUCCAGUACAGCGAAAAAUUGGAAAAGAUAUCAUCAAUUUGUUUUGUCGUUUGGGGAAACAGUAAAUGGUCAUCAUCAACAGCGGAGGUCUUAAUCAUCAUCAUCCAUUGAUUGUCACGUUCUCAAGCAUUAACCAACCACCGGUGCCUAUGCGACAUUUUUUUUCCCCAAAAAAUCAAAUUAAGGGCACAUUUAUUUUCCAAUACUAGACACAGGAAAAGACCGAGGGACCAUCACACACACACACGCGCAUAUAUAUAUAUAUAUACAUAUAGUAUGUUUUUGGGAACCAGGGACAAUCAUAAUUGGAUGGCAAAAGGGGCAUAUUUUCCUGUCCUUGCUGUGACCAUUAAUUCACGAUCCUGUGGUUUUUAAAAGGACGGGUAAUCUAAGUCGGGCGGUGGCCUCUAGCCCAAAAAAAAAAAUUUUUUUUUUCCCCUGGUGGGACCGGGGGCAGUACGAAAGAGAUUAUUAGGUGUUGAAACUAAAAUCAUUGUCGAGAGAAUUUUUCAGGGGAAACAAAUAGAGCUGACAUUUGUUCUUGGUCAAAUUCAAAAUUUCCAGUCAUCCAUCCGUCUCUUUUUAAUGUUCUGAUCCUUAAUACUAGCAAAGAAUUUCAAGUUUAAUUAACUCGAAAUUCUCAAGAUAAUUCGUCUCUUUUUAAUGUUCUCAUCCUUUUAUUCUCUCGAUCCUCAAGGUAAUAGAAUGAAACUCUCGUCUCUAGUAGUUUAGGUAAAUUCCAUAAAACUUUUUCGUUUCCAAUUUGAUGAUAUUCAAGAGUUCAACAACUUUGUGGAGUUGUGUUAUUUAACUACUCUUAAAGUAGUUCGUCGCCAAAUGACUGAAAUAAAUUUUAAAAUUCUACAUGAAUACAGGUCAACGAUCAAAUAUUUUGACCUGCAUUCUAAUAUUCACACAUUUCUGAAAAUAGUGAUUUAUCGAGUUUUUCUUGACCUGUUUAGGUUUGUCUCUUUUUAGUAUAAAAUAGAAAUAAUUAUAACAUAAACUCUAUCAUGUAGUAACAAAAAAAAAAAAAUUAUUCGUGCUUUGAAUUGCCAGCUUGUCCGUGGUGCACUUUUUCUUCUUCAUCCGUACUUGUUUGUCCAAGCACUAUCAACAGGAAAGAUUAUUUAGGAUGCCGCAAAUGUGCAUGUUUGUGAUCGGUAAUUGACUGCCAUUAUCUCUUUCUACACUUUCGUGUGUGCUGCCAUUAUCAACUUUCAAGGUGUCGCUGUCAAAUGUCAAUACUUUGGCAAGAGAAAUUCAAGUUUUACUGUUGAAAACAAACAUGGUACACUACUAUUUUUCUUUUGUUUAUUUUUCUUUUUGGGGGGCGUGGGUGGUUUUGUGGUUUGUAAAUUUUGCCUCUGAUCCUCUCGUCUGGCUGUCGUGUUCAAUGCUUUUAUACCUAUCAAAGUCAAGUGACUUGGCCAAACCUCAUGCUCAAGGCAUUAUGAAUUUCAACCUGUCUUUGUCAUUUUUUGUUACUUCUUGUUUCGUUAAAAAAAAUAUAUAUAUAUUUUCCUCAAGAUAAUGCAACUAUGCAGGACGUCUGUUUCAGGAACCCGUGCGAAUUGAAUGGAGUGUCUUUUCUCUGCUUUUCGGCUUUACUUAAUUAAUUUGCACCUAAUCAAAUUAAUUUAAGUAUUACUUAAUUGACUAUUCCAUCACUGAACGAUCUCCCCAGUUAUAACCUUCGCCUGUUGCAUCAUUUGUUUGACAAGCACGUGUGACCUCACUCACCAAUUGCUUCAUCCUAAAGGUUCCUUUACAGCACUGAAACAUGUAAACACCUUCCUACCCCAGUUCACUCACUCAUCAGUUGCUACAUUUGGUUAAUUAGAUUAUUUGGCUUGAAUUCCUGUAAGGAACUUAACACAAUACUGAAUUGCCACGUUGUGAAAGUUUUGACUCUGCGUAAAUGUUUUCCAUACUUGAAUGAUUCUGGGAACCUCGAAUUUUUCUUCUUUUACUUUCAGGGGUUAUUCAAGGAUCCGGGGUUACCACAAUCUAUAUCUAUAUUUAUAUGUAUCACCAAGGACGGCAGUUUGACGAGGUGCGUCCAAAAUCAUCAAAAUUUAGAAUUCUAUUUUAUUACAAUUUCACAUUUUUUAAUUAAGUAAUAUUUAUCCCUUAACUAAUCACAACCACUCCUACGAAUUAGCUUUACAAAUUACAAUCAUGUCUAAAAGAUAUCAACACAUGACGUGCGCGUUUGAAAGACUCCUUGCUCCGCAUACCUUGCCAUUCCAAUUAAGAUCUUUGACAAGGAGUUUUCACAGGCAUCAAAAAUUUAAAUUUCUUUUUACUAUAAUUUUAGAUUUAUUUUAGUUCAAUAAUCCCUUCUCUUUAAUCUUUCCCACUUUUCAAUUUAUGCGAGCCACAAAUCCAUAAAAUCAAAACUUCAAAAUUUUAACUAAUGGAUGACCCACUAACCUACAAAAUCAAAACUCCAAAAUUUUAACUGACAGAUAAUAACCACCCCUACAAAAUUACAUCUGCAAAUCCCAAAUCAAGUCUAACACUGAUAUGACUAAUAGUAAUAACUAAUUGAUAAUUUAAAAAACUCACCAUUAUGAAAAUCGCAUAUCUAAAAUUUAGGUACCCUUUUGGAUUAUAAUUCCCACAAUUCUACGUAUCUUAUUGUUAUGACAUAUUUUACUCUCAUAAUUAUUCACAAAACUAACGAUCACUAACUAAUUUUCAUUUGUCAUCCGCACAAAUCAAACAUAGGGAGAAAAACAUAUAUAUAUAUAUAUAUAUAUAUAUAUAUGUGUGUGUGUGUGUGUGUGCAUAAUUAUAUAUAUAUAAUGAUAUUAUAUCAUUUAUACUACUAAUUAUGCAUGUCUAUUAAUAAAAAUUAUUAAUUAUUUAUAUUAAAUUCCUAAUUACACUCAAUACAAAAACAUUUUUUCAAAAAAAAUACAAUAAUAAUUUAGUGAUUGUAUUUGUAUCAAAAGUAAAAACUUGAUUAUUUUAUUUAUAUUUUUUUAUCAUAUUAGAUUGUAUUCAAAUAACUUUUGUUUAAUUAUUUUUAUGAGUUUCAAUUGUGAAGUUGCAAUGAAUAAUAAUUUGGUGAUAUGUUGAUAUUUUAGUACUUGAUUAUUUGCUCAAAUUCAAUUAUAAUGAAAUUAUAUAAUAAAUUUUUUUAACCCCACGGGUGCCUCCGCGGGGGAAACGGGGCGGGGCGAGGGAAUUAAUAAGCAACAGGGCGGGGGGUGUGGAAGGGAUCCCCGCCCCAUUGCUACCCCUAAUCCAACCUACAUGUAUUUCAACUGUGUCUCAAUUCCAAAGUUGCAAGAUUGCAAAGUAGAAAGCAAUUAAUUACAAAACGAAACCUAAAUCACAAUGAUUUCAUUGAAAUAUUUCAAAAGGUUUAGCAAGUUUAUUUUCAAGAAAGACAAGUCUCAAUGAACAUUAUUUUUUUAGUAUGAAUUCCAUAAAAUUCAACAUAAUCAAUUAAACCACCAAUAUUUACUUUCGUACUAAAUAUUGAUUGGUGUGAAAAAUGUUCGUUCAAGAUUAUCAAAUCGAAUACAUAAUAUUUGUAAGUAUUUCAUUUUAAAAUCAAAUAAAACAUGCGAUUAUAUGCCUUUUUUAAUAUAAAUUUCUAUUAUUAUUUUAAGAUCUAUUUUUUGCAAAAACACAAUUUUUGAAUAAUGUACACAUUUUUAUCAUACUUUGAAUUAUUAGUAGACAAAUCUUAUAUUUUAAUUAUAUUGGUACAAUCUUUUUAUUUUUUUCAAAUUCACUUUCUCUUUUAUUUUUUUUAAUAAUAUAGUAUCGUGUGUGCAGCAUAGGUAUUUAUGCUAGUUAUCGUGCAAGUAGGGUAGGGAAUCACUGACUAGCUAGAUCUCCUGGCUCCAGAAACAGCGCCCAAUAAAAUUUCCACGUCAUAAGGUCCACCACGACCCCAUUACUUGGUCCACCCAGGUGACCAAGACCCUACGCAUUUUCAUGCUUCAUCACUUGGUUUUAUCACACUUACGUGCGCUGUUAUCAAUCAGCCAUCGUCAAAUAAUGAAUAAGUUAUAUUUUAUCACUCGUUAUCAUUACUUAGUGAUCGGCAAUUGACAAUCUAUAUCUAUAUCUAUAUCUAUAUGUAUUCAAGAAGGGGUUUUUAGCAGAAACCCUCUCAAUGAUUUCUAAACUUCUCAUUCUUUUUUUUAGAUUUUUGUAUUUAUUUUAAUACAUAAAAUAUAGUAAGUUAUAACCCACCUUAUCACCCAUCAAUAUUCCCACUAUCUCACUCCCAAUAUCUUAACUCAUCUUACUAUCACUCCUACAAAUUCUCUAUUCCCACUAUCCCACUAUCUCACUCCCACUCUCUCUCAGUUUCUUAUUUGUUUUUGGUUCUCUAUUCAUUUUGUAAAUGUAUUGAUUUUGUUUCUUUUAUGAGCAGUAGUGAAAGAUAUUAUGUGCAGAGACUUCAGCAGAAAUCAACCUUCUCGCGGAGAAUUGGAAGUAUAUUCUUGCCAGCUUAAUUUUCCAGGUCGGUCCCUCUGCCUUUUAAGUAUGUUUUGCUUUUGCUUUACUUUUUGUCAUGAAUGAUAUUGCAUUGAUUUUCUGAUCAUCUAUUAUUUCUGAAAAUUUUUUACAAAAUCCUAUAAACGGUUGUUUGUUUAUUGUUACACUGUAAAGCAAAGAUACUCAAUAGUGGGAUAAAGUAUAAACACAAAAUCACAAUCACAUUUCUAACAUAAGGUAUUGCUUGCUUAUAUAAUUGCGGAUGGUAUAGGUUCAUGAUUGAGGGUUUUACUAUUUCUAACAUAAAUUGUAUAUUAUAAAAAUUUAUUUGUUUGUAUUAUUGAAGUUUUUUAAAUUAUUUUUUAUUACACAUUUAUCACAUAAAAAAGGUGUUACGAUAGUAGAGGGAAUGAAGCCGUUAGCGACAUGUGAAAAAAUCGAAAAGGACAAAAGCAAUUAGAGGGAUAAUUUCGCACAAAAUUCGUGGGUUAAAGUGCAAUUUGAGGUAUAGAUGGGAGACAUUUUAGUGCAUUUAUUGGUUUAUUUUCAAUAAGUGGUGGUUGGUUUUGCGGAGUUUGGGGGGUCUACAUGUACCAAAAUAUAUUUAUAUAUGGAUUACUUCAUUAACUAUGGGUGCUAAUAACAAUUCUAUUGGUGCGCAAUUUUCAUUUGAUUACAACACAAUUGUAUUAAAUUCUAUUGAUGCUACUUCUAUAUUAACUAUUGUAUUUUUUUGUUAACAAUUCUCAUACAAUGUAUCACUUACAACACAUAAAAUAAAUACAAAAACUAUUUAUUUUUUAUUUAAUAUAUUUUUUUUCUAGAUGAAAGAAAUGAAAAUAUUGCUUCUCUUCAAGUUCGACAGCCAUCCGCAUCACCAAUACUUUUGCAUGAUCAUAGUAAAUAUGCAGUUUUUUAUAUUGUCAAAGAUCGUGCAUUUUCAUUUGUAGUACGCAUUCCACAAAAUUCAAUAUAGUUAAUUAAAUCAUCAAUUUUGACUUUCGUACUAAAAGUGGAUUGGUGUGAAGAGUGUUCGCACCUUCAAGAAAGAUUAUCAAAUCGAAUGCUUAGUAUUUGUAAGUAUUUCAUUUUAACAACAUUCAUUUGUAGAAAUAUAUCAUUUACUUUUUUAAUAUAAAUUUUAAUUUUUUUUUCAGGAUCCAUCUUCCAAAAAAAGACAGUUCUUGAAUGAUAUACACAUUCUAUUAUAUUUCAAAUUAUUGUUAAACAGAUAUUACAUUUAAAUUUUGUUGGUUCAAUUUUUUCACCUUUAUUUGUUCACCAUUUUAUUUUUUUCAAUAAUGUCAGCACCGUGCGUAGCACGGAUAUUCACACUAGUUAUGUAUGUAUUACGUAACGACGUGCAAUACCAACUCCCCAAUUAGCUUGUCUAUAUAGAAUCAGUGACUCUCAAUUGAGGAUCCUCACUUGGGCCACAUUUGAGGCAGAGAAAAUUAUUUGUUCGACUCCUAAAUUAUUUUUUUUGCACUUUUUAACCUCUCAACAAUAUAUUGUCCGAAAGACUCAGUGUUUGUGGGAUGGAAGAUUGAGAAUUUAAAUCUACCUUCGACCUUCUAUCACUUUGACAUUAACAUACGAUUUCUUCAAAUUCAUAAAGACAUGUAGUGCACUCAUUUAAUUCGAUUUAAUACUGACGAAAUCAAGGGGUAAUAGAAUAGUUCUCAGAUAAGUGUCCGCUCGACAAUCUUAAAAAAAAAAAAAAAUCAAUACAGGAAUCCUCCGUAAAGAACAUAUGAAUCGAAAAUAAACACAGUCUCAUCCCACAUCGAAAGAUCGUGGGGUCUUUACUUUGGGUUUAAGAUCCACAGGGAUCUCGUUCUGUCAUCAAUUAGCUGAACGUGGAUUCUUUGUGGGUGCCCCUUAGAUUGCUUUAGGGCCAAUUUUUCAUUAACUUCCGUGUUUGUUUCUAAUUGUGUGUGUGAGUUAUUUCGUUUCCGUAAAAAAAAAAAAAAAAAAAAAAAGAGAAUAGACAUAGUCCUCGGAUGCGUGGCCGCUCGAAACACCAUAUGGAGUCGUACUGGAAAAGGUUUAAAAAAUCAAAAUAAAAGGAGAGAUCUCCUUUGUAGACCAACAAAAUCCGAAAUCAUUUUCAGUGUAUAUCAUUUCCCGGGAUUUUGACGCAUUAUUCGAGUUUCUUUUCAUAUCAUCAUUCAUAAUUUUUUUCUUUUGAUAUACGUUACGGCUUGAGCUAGUCCGGCUUAAGCUCAAACGGCUUAGUUGGUGAAGUCUUUCUUGCAGAUUAUAGACGCGAGUUCCCUUUAUUGUUCUUCUUCUUUUCUGUUCUUCGGUCAAGCAAAUAGACGAUCGACGCACUACUAAAGAACAGCCUGAAAAUCACGUACUCUACGUCCCAUAAACACCAUCCAACAUCUACUACAUAUUGUACUGAAUACAUAAUAGUUUUCAGGAGAUAAUGCCAUGAUAAAGUUUGGGAAUUGAGGCCUAGUCUAGAAUUUUAGGAUUAUUAAAUUUGCUGUUUAACAUUCUUUGGGUAAGCUGGCUUGUUAAUAUGGUUUGCAAGGGAUAGGUUUAACAUUUUCCAGCAUUUCUCAAGAAGCUUUACGUUUCUGUCUCAAAUUCCGGGUAUAACUUAAGUAUAUGCUAUUGGCUCUUACUUUGUUCGUGCUCCUUUUACUUUUCCUUGAUAUCAUCCUUCCCUUUUUUUCCCCCCCUCUAAAAACAGACAAAUAAUUAAUAGGGCAAGAAAUUAGGGAUACAAAUGAUUCUUCUUUUAAAGUUCAAAAGUGCAACAUUUUUAUGUUUUCCUAAUUUAAAAUUUUCGAUGAACUCCUUGGCGCAUUGAAACUAUUAAGCUUCUCAACAAAGAAGGCAAUUAUAUACCUUUGUAGCUUCAAGAAAACGAUAAAAAUGCUGUGGUUAGAAAUCAAUAUAUACUCGAUUGGGUACUGAAAGAUAAUAAUUUUAUCACACGAUGAUCAUGAUUAGAACCUUGAUGGAUGUUGGUAUUAAACACUGGCAGGGCCAGGGCCGUAGAUUAAAUGACAACCUCCCCAUUGGGACACCGCCAUACAGGUUUAGCCAGCAAUUGUCUUCUUUCUUUUUCGUUUUCUUUGCUGGGGCCGGGGGAGAAUUGAUGGAUUGAUUUGAAACUAGUUAGUUAGCAAACCUUCAUUCAAGUUUCGAAGAAGAUUGAUUGAAUUUAAGGGGGAAAAAAAAGAAGGGAAUUGCUUCAAUUACCAUAUAUUGACAAGCAAGACAAUAUCCUAUUUAUUAGGAUUAUCGAUCCAUCCUUAUCCUGUUUCCAUGCUGAUUCUUCUGAAGCACUAUAAUCCUUUGCAAGAAUCUAUCUAAAGCAGCCCCACUUGCCCGAAACAUUUAUGCGUUGAUCUUUCCGAGUAACAGGAAUUCUUGGUCUGUAUAGUUUCUUGUCAGGGUGGUUGAUCUUUCGAAAUUAAUGGAGGCAACGUCCCUAUACAUCAAAAGAGAGAGGGACGGAGAAAAAAAAAAUAGCAUUGAACUUCCACGAGAGCGACGUCGUGCAUCCGUGUAUACCACACAAAUUCAAGAUCAUUUUUGAUCCACCGUUCAUUAUUGGAAGAGCAAGAGAGAGCGAGUUUUUGCGUUUUGAUUGAACAAGUACGAAAGCGAUAGAAAUGGCACAUACGGAGAUAAUUUGCUUCGUUUCAAAGAAAGGAUCGAAUUGCAUUUGACUAAUUGACAAGUACUCGGGGAAGGAAAUAUUAGCUGGUUACUAGUUCAUGUGUUGAAAAUCUGUAGCACCUUCCUUCCAAAACCGCGUGGCCAUGCUUGAUCAAGACAGUUAAACACAGUCAAGAUUUCAAUUCUUCAUCCACAGGUGGCAAUGCGACGUAAUGGUAUUGCUUACAACUUUAUGCCACACAGCUAUACUGAAAUAAAUAAAUUCCAUGCACAAAAUUUGAUUUUAGUAUUUUGAGAUCAAGCUCAAAUUUGGGUUAGAGUUUCAUUAACGGUUGCUCUAAUAUUUUUUUUUGAUUUCUUGAAUUAGUCCUCUUGCACUCCUUUGGAAGCAUGUUAUUUCGUGAGCCGAUUGGAGUCCCGAUAGAAUAGGCUAAAAUGGGAGCACGAAUAUGAAUUCCGAAUUCUCUCCUUAGCAACCGAUUUUCACUCCCUCAAAUAUUUGACCAGUCACAAUUCAUCAUAAAUGUAUGACCAGUCACAAUUCACAAUUAAUUCACGCAGAAAUUAUAGAAAACUGAGACGUUAACGUUUCUGCCUUUUACCUCGACUCUUAGUUGGUUUGAAAUUGUUGCUUUAAAGAAUUUCAUGUUAGCUUGUAGGAGGGACCAGUCAGUCGCUGUGAAUGACGAAGGGAAGAUGCAAUACUGGCUGGAUAAGAGUCCAUAGCUAAGAGAGGCAAGAGAUAAACUUGGAUCGUAGGGCGUGGACCAUGGACCGCGACGGAGUAACAAAAAUUUAAAAGUUAUUGCAAAAUUUGCGACAUAGCAAAAACAUGAUUGACAUAAUAUAUUGACUUGGCUCUGUUACACUUCACGGACGAUGAAUGAUGAAUGGCUCAGAGUUGGGUAAGAAAGUCAAAAUUGAAGUUGUGCGGAUGAAAAAUAGCAUCAUGGAAUUCCAACGCAACGCGACAGAAGCGUAAAGAUCGAAUCCACGUGAACAAUAAAAUGAAUAUAACAUCUUUCUUUAUUGCGAAAAUCUACAGAGCGAUUUACAUCGGAUUUCAAGAAAACGGUUCCUAUGCCUCUCCCAGUCUCCCUCUCCGCUACCUUUUCAAUGCUGUAUUUUAAACGUUUUGUUCCAAUUGUCAUUUUUCUUUCUCAAAAUAUAUUUUCUGAACGUCUUUUCAUCAUAUAUAUAUAUAUAUAUAUAUAUAUAUAUAUAUAUCAAAUCGAUAAAAUAUAUUUUUUAACAAAAAAAAUUUAAAAAUACGAAUCCAAACUAGCGUUAAAUCGCUAGCAGCUAGAAUCAAAGGGAUUGUUUGGAUUGGCUUGAUUUCAAAUAAAAAAAAAUUAUUUCAUAAAUUUUAAUCAUCUUUUUUAUUAUUUUUUUUUUAUCUCACAUACAUUACAUCACAAAAAAUACUACAGUAAUUAUCUCAAAUAAAUUAUACAAAUAAAAGGAGAUUGGAAUUGCGACUAGGCACGCCAUCAUUAUUUAUUGACUAUUGAAUUGCUACUAUUUUUCAUGAAAGAUUUAUUGACCAGUGUGACUUAUCAAUGCAAUGGUAAAAGUUUUUCAAGUGGCAGUACCAGAAAUUAGUUGGGUGACAGUAACGUCAGUCGAAGCAUUUUUUAACAGAUCUCCGAUUGUAAAAUUAACAAAACAUAUACUCUCUCUAACUAGUAGCGGUAAUAUUUUGAUAUUAUGUUGUUGUUCUAUAUCGGCAGGCGAAUGUUUCAGUCGAUGACACGUGUAUAUAUAUAUAUAGUACCGGGUGCUUUACGCUAACGAUGAUUUUUUUUUUUUUCAACGCUAACGACGAUGAAUUAAUUGUAAUACUAAAAAACUGAAAAACCAGAAAUGGACGUGACUGGUCCUUGCAGUUGCGGAGUCGAUUCCCGUGGUUUGAACUUUGAACCGCAUACUGGGUCGGUUUCUUCUGCUGGAACCACCGGGUCAUAUCUUGUACACAAAAUUGAAAAGGCUAUCAGAAGGCAUAAAUAAAAGAACAAAUCCGAGGUUCAUGAAAACUGUCUGUAUUCAUGAGUUUUGACUUGAGAGUAUUCUGAAAAUGAGAUUGGAGGACCUAAAGCUUUGUUUAGUCAUUAGUCACAUAAUUAAGUCAAAUGAUAAAAAAUAAUUCAAUUCAACAUUUAAAUUUAAUGGGUUUAGAUCUUAAUCAAAAAAAAAAAAAAUCUGAAUUAAUCAAGUGCACGUUCAAGCAAAUAAAUAGCAGUUUAGACAGCAGAAUUGGUGAUAAUUAUAUAGAUGUGGAUUAACUUCGUCCAAGCAUUUGUGAUAAUUAUAUGUUUUUAUUCAUACAAGUUAACUGACACUUUACUGAAAUAAUAAAGAUAAAACCAAAACCAAAUGGCAAAGAACGCUGCCUACCAAAAAUUUGAUGAGAGCCAGAAGUCUCAGGCCAAAAAUUUUUAUUUUGAAUUAGGUUUUCAAUUUUCAAGAAGGUCACAUAUUGUCACUCAGAUCCAAGGCUCAUAUGGACCAUCUGUCUUGAGAACUGGUUUGGCCGUUUGGGCUUUCUUAGGAUGAGGGAGAUCGCCGCAGGUUUCUUAUAAAUUAAAACUCCCACAUUCUUUACCUCGUGUGACUCGUGACACCAUCUGACAAUCAAAUGUUGAACUUCUUAUAGGGCCAGGGCCCAAAAAGUUGUCAAAUCCAGAAUAAAAUUGAAAACACUUUUGCAAGCCAAUAGGCAUCCACGCCUCCAAGCCCCGAUUUAGGUGGGACAUUAGUCAAGUCAUCUUUUUCUGAAAAGAUUUGUCAAAUGAUUCUAAAUGCAUUUUCUAAUUAUUUUUUCACCUCAGAAAUAUAUUACAGUAAUUAUUUGGAACAUAAAAAUGUGAUCAUUCAAAACAGAGUGUAAUGGCUUUUUAAACACACCACCAUUUCAGAUAAAAUUUUUUUCCAAUAAUCUUCUAUCCAAGGUUCCAAACACACACACACACACAAAAACCCUCCAAGCUCUAUCCAACACAGAAAAAGGUCCCAAAAAUUCACUCGAUCAAUGAGAUAUUCACUCCAUCAAAUCUGCAAGAGUAGCUGGCUCUUCAGUCACUUUCUUGGGGAAGUUUACAAACCAUUCACUUGGAGUUUAAACUAAGCUCUGAACCGAGUAAUGACCAAUUUUACCAACUUACAUCAGGCGAGAGGUGCCCCUCCAGCUGAAUGCUAACGCCUAAACUCGACCGCGCAAACUACCACGGAUUAUUCCGCCAAUAGAAAGCUUCCCAAUACCAAACCUGUUUACCCUCUAUGCAUUGGCCCUCCAAAAGAAAGGAAAAAAAAAAAAAAGAAGAAAAAGUCCACCCUUUGACCAUCCUUAGAUCUAUGCUCAAAUCGCACAGCCCCUGCCCUUUCCCUCUCUUCCAUCGACAAUUCAAUUAAUCUCAAUAAAUUUGCAGAAACUUGAGUUUUUAUUCCCCUUUCUGCAUCCAAUACCAGAACCAUCUCAUUCAAAAAAGGUGCUGUAAGUCCCCUUUCUUUUUUCGCUCCCAAUUUUCAUGGACAUUGGCUUCUGAAAAGAGCAGUUUGUAAAAAUUUAUUAGAACACGCAUGGAUAGUAAUUAUUCAGCUAUAUCCAAGGAUUCUGACGUAGAGUUAAAGGUUAAAGAUCAUGUCUUGGGAUCAAAGGACAAGUCUUUCAGAUUGAUAUCUCAGGAUGAAGAACUGGGCUAUGUGAAACCUGACAACGUGGAUGAUUCAGAGGUUCGUGAUGAUCUUGAUUUUGAUAAUUUACCCCUUAUUAUUGGAGAAGCUAAAUCAGGGUCAGGUAUUUAUGGUGCUGUUUUUAACCUUACCACUUCAAUUAUUGGAGCUGGCAUCAUGGCCUUGCCUGCAACCAUGAAAGUUUUGGGCUUGGUUUUAGGUGUUGUGCUUAUUCUUUUAAUGGGAGUCUUGUCUGAAAUUAGUGUUGAAUUGCUCGUUCGAUUUGCGAUUCAUUGCAAGGCCUCAUCAUAUGGGGAAGUUGUGCAAGCUGCACUGGGUAGGGCAGCUAGGAUUUUGUCUGAAAUUUGUAUUAUUGUCAAUAAUGCUGGCGUUUUGGUUGUGUAUUUGAUUAUAAUGGGGGAUGUUUUAUCUGGUUCAAUUAGGCAUAUUGGCGUUUUUGAUCAGUGGUUAGGCCAUGGAAUGUGGGAUCAUAGGAAACUGUUGGUUUUGGUCAUUGUGGUGAUUUUUCUUGCACCCCUUUGUGCUUUGGACAAGAUUGAUUCAUUGAGCUUAACUUCAGCUGCCUCUGUAGCUCUUGCAGUUGUAUUUGUUUUUGUUGCUUUUGUUGUGGCGUUCAUUAAGCUUGUUGAAGGAAAGAUUGAGGCUCCAAGAAUGGCACCUGAUUUUGGUUCCAAGACGGCCAUUUUGGAUUUGCUUGUGGUGAUUCCUAUUAUGUCAAAUGCUUACGUCUGUCACUUUAAUGUUCAGCCGAUCUACAAUGAGUUGGAAGGACGCUCUCCUAGCAAGAUGAAUCGUGUGGGGAGGAUCACGACAGUAAUCUGUGUUUUGGUUUAUGCUUCAACGGCUAUAGCUGGAUAUUUGCUCUUUGGAAAGGAUACCGAAGCUGAUGUGCUGACUAACUUCGAUAAGGACCUUGGAAUUCGAUUUAGCACUGCUUUAAACUACAUUGUCCGAAUAGGAUAUAUAUUUCAUUUAAUUCUAGUGUUUCCUGUGAUCCAUUUUUCGUUGAGGCAAACAGUGGAUACCAUGUUGUUUGAAGGAUCAGCUCCACUUCAGGAAAGUAAGAAGAGGUGUCUGGCCCUGACGUUAGUGCUCUUAGGACUUAUUUAUUUUGGAUCCACAAUGAUCCCAAACAUCUGGACAGCUUUCAAAUUUACAGGAGCAACCACAGCAGUGUCAUUGGGAUACACAUUUCCGGCUCUUAUUGCACUCAGGUUAAGCAAAGAAGGGGUUAGUCUGAGUUUUGCAGAGCGGUUAUUGUCUUGGUUCAUGUUAACAUUGGCAAUUGUUGUUAGCGUUGCUGGGGUGAUUGGCAACGUGUAUAGCAUUAAAAGCCAAUCUGAGUGAUGUUUUUAUUUUAGUCUAGAAGUUGUACACGAGAGUAGUUCGGACAUGGAGGAAACUAGAGCAAAUGGUGGAGUGAGUUUUCAGAUGAAUAGCUUUGCCGGAGCGGUGGCUUAGUGAGGUGAAGAAUGAGCAAUGAGCCCUCCCUCUGCAGAGCCAGAUAAGAUCUUGGGCAUAUGCCAAAUUUCAGCAUUGAUAGCCUUGCUUGGAAACAGAGUGUUUGUUCCGGACUUUUGGUCAUGUUCAUUCUACUUUGCAAGCUUAAGAGCAAUCAACAAUGAGUUUUGAGCAGGCAUCCGGAUUGAAGUCAUUGUUUGAUGGGAUUGCUGCAGAAUUGGUACCUUGUGCUCCUUAUCUUGGCAACUUUUGGUUUUGCUUCCACCUCGAGCCUAAUCUCUUUUGCUACCAUAGAGUAUCAAACAGACUUGUAAUACUUUUUGGCAUUGUUCAUUAAGAAACAUGCGCAAACCAUUUAAAGUUAGGUGGAUUACAUACUUUGCUGAUAACUCGUGUUGGAAGAUACGAAAAGCACGCUUAGUUACGGGGAUCAAUUUCUAGUUCUCACUUGCGUUUGCACUUGAAAAAAAUGGUAUUUUGUGCAGUGUCGUUAGGUUUUAUAUUUCCAGCUCUUAUUGCAGCCAGGUUAAGCAAAGAAAGGGUUAAUCUGAGUUUUGAGGAGAGGUUAUUGUCGGGGUUCAUGUUAACAGUUAAUAUCCAUACCGUAUAUAAAAGGAAAUGAAGGAGAUUGAGAUUAGCAUGAACUUCCAUUUUUGUCCUUGUGAAAACUACUCUUACUUUAAUUAACUAUACACAUGUUGUCAAGAUUUCUGUCCAUGACUAUUUUUAACUUUUAAUUACAAGGGAAAAUCUUUCAAACGCUUCUUACAUUUUAUUAAAUAAAUUUUUUAACCUUUCGCUUUUAAAAUGUUAAUUUUACAUCUCUUAUAAAUGUAAGUGAGCAAAAUUUGAUCCCAACUUAGAUUUCUGAUCACUUUUUGGUUUGAAAUCAUCACGUAACUCACAUGUGAUCAUUUUUUAGUUAUAAAAAAGUCAAAUGCCACUUGUUUAAAGGUAAAAAUGAAUAUAGAUUAGGUUAGAUCUUACAUUUUUUAGGAGAAAACUUGAAUAAAGUUCGGAUUAGAUUCCACUUUUUUAGAGACAAAAUGAAUUUGGAUCGCGUCAUUUGUAUAAAUACAAAUGGUGUCUAAUCUUUUUUGCCCUUGGAAAAUGAUUAUAUGUGAAUUGCGUGAUAGGUUUAGGGUAAACAAUGAUAUGAAAUCUAGGUUAGGAUCAAAUUUUAUUUACUUGAAUCAGUCGGAGACGUAUAAUUAAUAUUUUAGAAAUGAAUGAUAGAAAAAAUUUAAUCGAUGAAAUGUGUGAAACGUUUUGAAUGAUUUUUUUUUUAAACUAUUAAAGUAUAUCUUUUCAACAUAAUUACCCCUAAAUAUUAGAAACAUAGAAUUAUUUUAUGAAAAAAGAUUUAAAAGAUCAAAGGUUUGCUUCGGCAAUGAAAAUUUUAUAUAAAAUAUAUGACCAUAAAUAUUAUAUAUAUAUAUAUAUAUAUUGCACACGCGUUGAAUUUGCAUUUACCACUAGUUGGCAAUUAUUGUUAGCGUUGCUGGGGAGUUUGGGAUAGCAUUAAAAGCCAAUUGAGUGACGUUUUUGUUUAGUCUAGAAGUUGUAGACGAGGACACAGAGGAAACUAGAGCGCAUGGAGGACUGAAAUUUCCGAUGAAUGGCUCUGCCGGAGUGAAAAAAAUGAGCAAUAGACUCUCCGCUGUGCCGGGAUAUGUCAAUUUCAGGAUUGAUGUUGGUUAAGAAGUAGCCUUGAAUGGUAAAAGUGUUCGCCCCGGGUAUUUGAUUCCACCUUAAAGUAAACCUCUGCUUUUACCACGUACCAGUAAUCAGGGUCAUUGACUUCGUACGUACGAGCCCCAAACACAUGCUUUUGAAAUUACAAUUUUGAUGGCUUUUCCAGUGAUACCAAAAAGAAUCCCUUUGCUCCGUUGCGAAGGGACGAACGAUCACUUUAAAGAGAACGGAAUUUAAAAGUUAUCUAGGGAUGCAAAUAAUUUUUAUAAUUUCUAAAAAACUUCUGAAAUUUAAAAAAGAAGAAAAAGUUACUAUUUGCUAAAGGGAAGAGACGGUUACUAAAUUACAGGGACUUGCAAAAGGAGAAAAAAAAGCAAAUAUUGACCAGCGUUUCGCUGGUUGUCCACUUCUGAUGAUUAGAUAAUGCGACUACAAGGACCAUUGCCCAUGUUUAGCAAAUAUGACCCAACCAAGAGUCCUAGAGCUGGUUUUUAUUAUCAGACAGAAUCGAGGAGCAGAAUAGGACAACUGGCCAAAUGUCAAAUAAAAGUCAUCAAGUUACCAACAGCCUGCCCUUAAAACCAUAUCAUAUGAAUGAAAAGACACGAAGUUUCAUCUAAAAACACGGAGCAAGUGAUUCACGCAGCUGAAGCCGCCAUCAACCAUGAGGUUGUCUCCACUUAUGUACCUUGCUUCAUCACUA